GACCUUUUCUAUCAACGGUUGGUGUAUCUCUUCCAUCUCCUCCGCCAAAACCUCUACCAAGAGAGCCGCAUUGUGCCCUUCGGUCUUUGCAUCCCUUAACUCUUCUCCUUCCUCUUCCUCGACCUCUUCUUUCCCUUCUCUCAUUCAAGACAAGCCUGUUUUUGCUGCUCCUUCUUCAAUCAUCACCCCCGUUGUGGUAUAUAUACACAAAAAGUUUCAUUAUUUAUGCAACAAAUUGGAUACAAUCACUCUAUUUUUUAUUUCAUCACAUGCUUGUUUAAUAUUUAUUUACUUUGGUCACAUUUUACAUUUUUUCAAUGUUUUCCUGCCUCAUCUAUAUAUGAGGUAUAUAUGAGGUUGUAUAUGAAACCAGUUUUAAAUUAUGGUUGUAUUUGUUGCAAUUAUGAACUAUGGUAUGAAAGUGAAAAUGUGUUUCAUGUAAACGUGGUCGUAAUAUGUGGUUACAAUUUUGUAACUUCAAUUUUGAUAAUUGACCUUAAUUUAAGAGGUAUAUCCUUAAGAUGUUCAAAAAGCAUUCCCAAUAUACAAAACACACAUACUUCUUGCAUUUGUUGUCUUGUUUAUUUUUUUAGUAAGAACCCAAUAUAAUAUUCUAUUUGCAGUUUUGAAUCAUAGUGUGUAUUGUGAUGGAGUGUAGCAUAGAUUUUUUUGUCUUAGGUGAUCAUGUGUUCCAACAAUCUACGUGUCCACGCAUAAAGGGUAAAUAAAUUUGAUUGCUACUUGGAACAUUAACAUUUAACUAAGUUUUUAAUGUUGAGUUUACACGUGAAACUUUACACCCAUUGAUUUUUCUAUGGAACCAUCUCAUAACGAAUAGGAUUCCUCUACCGUACUAGACUGAAAAUAUAAGAGAAUGAUUCUUUUAAAUUAUUUAAUUUAAAAAUAAACUAAAACUUGAACUAUUGAAAAUUUAUUUUUGACACAUGUCAUAGACUAUCUCAUAACUUAAUUAGUUAGGUUUGAGUGACAGGUGUGUGAUAUGGAUUUGUUCACAUGAACUAGUAUGUGUAAGCUGUCAGAACCAUACAAUAAAAGAAGUAUAUAUUAACAAGAAAAUUGACAAAAAAUAAAACUAUAUAUAAAAUGUGAAAUUCCUUGAAUGGUGGAAGCUAAGUUAGUUGGAGGAUUCUAAGGCGGAUAAAGCAACAAAUCCAAACUUCUUUAGAAGAAAAGGUCCACUCAAAACCAGUUUUGCCAAAUUGGCUACUAAUCAAUAUUCAUACACCAUUUCCAACAUCUAUAUUUUUAUGAAAUUUGACAUUAUUUAAUUACUUAGUCAAAUUCUAUUUAUUAUUUAAUUUCCCUUUGGUUUUCUCUUUUUUGUCCCCAUAAUUACAAAGUUUUAGUUGUUAAAAUUCCACCAUGUUUAAGACAAAUUUACUUUUUGUUUCUCAUUUAAUUUAUUUGUAUACAAUUUUUUUUAUCAAUAUCGGAUGAACCAUCAUAUAAUGAACUUUCUUUUUUACUUUGUAAUGUCAUAUGAUAAGAAAGAAAUAAUAUAAACAAGCAUGUUAGAUUACAAAACAAAACAAAAAACAAUAUGAUAACUUAUCAGUAUAUGCUAACUUGUAUAUAUAUUUUUUCCUUUUUAAAGAGAGAGGAUAUGGGUAAGAACUAUGAUGAAGCAAUUGAAGAACUCCAGAAACUGCUAAGGUAAUAAAAUAUGAAACACUCUUUCUGCUAGAAAAUGCAUGCUAUUAAAUAUUUCACAAUAUCACUCUUGCUCCUAGUAAAUUAACAUGCAAUUGCAUUAUGUUUAAAUUUAGAGAGAAGGCUGGACUAAAAGCCACAGCAGCUGAAAAGGUAGAGCAGAUAACAGCACAAUUGAGCACAGCAUCAUCUGAAGCAGUUCCAUCAUCAGAAGCAUCUGAAAGGAUCAAAACUGGUUUCCUUUACUUCAAGAAAGAGAAAUAUGAGUUAGUCACUAUAUAUAUAUACCUUAAUAUAUGUCUUCAUAAAUUAGUUUCUUUUAGUUUAAGCUUUCUCAUUUCUUAUUAAUUCUUUUUCACAGCAAGAAUCCAGCUUUGUAUGGUGAACUUGCUAAAGGCCAGAGCCCCAAGGUAUUUAUUUUCUGAUGAUUUAUUUUUAGAAUAUAUGUACCCUUUUGCAUUCAAAAAUAUUUGUUGGACAAUUUUUUUAAUAACUUUUAGACACCUUUGAUUUUUAUAAUGCAAUUACUUUUCAUUGUAAAAAGUAAAAUAGUACAAAUGUUUAGAUAACAUUACUUUUUUGGAUAGUGGUAAAAACUUGGGUCAUACUUUAUGUUAUAUAAAAAACAAUUGUUACAAAAAUUGUCCAAAACAACUAUAAACAUUUUAUAAAAAAAAUAAACUUAUCUGAACUUUCUAGACUGGUAACUUUACCCUUUUGGAUAUAGAUGAAAAUUUCUAUUAAUGUUGAAGACUAACUUUGUCUUAUUUGAUUUUUCUUUUUUGGAGUUUAUGGUGUUUGCUUGUUCUGACUCAAGAGUAUGCCCAUCACAUGUGUUAGAUUUCCAACCAGGAGAGGCCUUUGUGGUCAGAAAUGUUGCUAACAUUGUCCCACCAUAUGACCAGGUCUCUUUCCAAUACACUUUUUGCUUUGUCCUAAUACAGUAAUAAUUCAAUACUCAAAUUAUUACUUUCUUUGUUUACCUCUUCACUCUAUCAGUCUAAAUAUGCUGGAGCUGGAGCUGCUAUUGAGUAUGCAGUUUUGCACCUUAAGGUACAUUAUCAAUCAUUAGAAGAUAAAUGAACUGCACAAAAUUUCAUGCAUAUUGUACUCUCCUCUAUUUUUAAUAUGAAUACAAUUUCAUUAUCAUCAUAUUAGAAUUUGACAACAUUAAGUUAUUUCUUUCUCUCACUUAUUCAUUAUACAACUCCACUUUCACUACAUCAUAAACUUAUAUUUUUAUUUCUAUUAUUAAAUAAUAUGCAUUUGUUGAAAUUUUUUAUGAAAAUAAUUGGAAGAAGACCAAAGACUAUAUAUAUAAUAAUAAUAACUGUUAAAGAUGACUUAUUCUUACAUAAUUUUCGGUUAUAACGGUUAAAAUUGUUUUUACUUUAAAUAGUAGUUUGAGUUGUAAAAUAAAUAUCAAAUUUUCCAUUAUAUAAAUUCUUUAUAUUUUGUAUUUGUGUAGCUUAGGUUGUAAAGUAAAUAAUAAAGUUUCAAUAUAUUUUCUUCACUUUCAAUUUCCUUCUUGCUGAAUUGCCAAUAAACUAAUAACCAUUAAACUAAUAAGUAAUAUUUCUGCAGGUGUCUGAAAUUGUGGUGAUUGGACACAGUGCUUGUGGUGGUAUUAAGGGGCUUCUCUCUUUCCCAUAUGAUGGAACCUACUCUACGUAUGUCAUUUUGUUUUACAUACAAAAUUACACUUUCCUAUCAAUUAUUUUAGGAUAUAUCCGCUGAAACUUCAGUGUUUGGUACAAAAACAUAAGAAAAUUACUUUCCUUUUUCUGGUCUGUGUUGUGCAGUGAUUUCAUUGAGGAAUGGGUCAAAAUUGGUUUACCUGCAAAGGCAAAAGUGAAAACAGCACAUGGGGAUGCACCAUUUGGAGAGCUAUGCACACACUGUGAGAAGGUAUAUAUAUGGGACAAAAAUAACACCACCUACAUUAACAUUAUACUAUAGUACUAUAGUACUAUACUAUAUGAAGAAGUAUACUAUAUAUAACCAUGUAUGUGAUGGUAACAAGUUGGAUUUUUAUUUGCAGGAAGCAGUGAAUGUUUCCCUUGGAAACCUGCUAACCUACCCAUUUGUUAGAGAUGGGUUGGUGAACAAGACAUUGGCACUGAAAGGAGGAUACUAUGACUUUGUUAAGGGUUCUUUUGAGCUCUGGGGCCUUGAGUUUGGCCUUGCUUCUUCUUUCUCCGUAUGAACACCCAACCAUUAUCAAUGACCUCAUCUUGCUUCCCUAAGUAUUCUACUUUCCUAAUAUGAUGAACUACUACUCUUGUAAUUACCCUUGUUAUGGAAUGAUAAAUUCCUAAUAAAAGUUAGUGGAGAUUCUCCAUCACUCUUCAUAUAUAUAUAGCUCCAAAUUAAAGUUCCUUUUUAUGCAUGAAAAAUAGGAGUGAAGUGUAAUAAUUUAAGGUGCAUUUUUCUUCUUUGUUAGGUAAAAGAUGUGGCCACAAUCCUGCAUUGGAAGCUGUAUUAGGGCCAUGCUUAGAGGUCGUGUGUAUGCGAUGAAGGACCAUAUGAUAUUCGAUCUUAUCUAAUUAUAUAUAUGUAUAUAUGAAACUAUGAACUUGGUUUAUGUGGUAUCAUUGAGACAAAAAAUGUCCAUUAUAUAUGUGGCAAUAAAAAUGCACCUAUGUGUGUUUGGUAACUCACUACAGAAAGUGUGUUUUGUAACACCCUUAGACACAGUUGAGAGGUUUAUAAAUCAUCCCACUACUUGAUCAGACCAAAGUAAGUUCAAAUAAAUAAUUAAUUGAGUUAAUUUAUAACGUAAAACAAAUUAAUGUUUACAUGAAGAGUUUUUUUAGUUAGCCAUUGUAACAACUUUGAGUUGUUGAUAUUUAAUGAACAUAAUAAUGUAAAGAUGAAUGAGGAAUGUUGAAGCCAUGGAAAGAUCUAAAAUUGGUAGAAAUAAUAUUAUAGUAGUCCAAAUUAUGAUGAUAACAAUAAUAUUGAUAUCAUAUUGUGAUGUAGCACAAGGUGGAGGAAAGUGCUUUGGAUUGAAUGAGUAUACACUUUACUUUAGAAAUUUGAUGACUCGUAGUGUUGAAGGAAAAAACAUGUCAAUUGUGUGCUAUGGAAAUGAUGCCAGACUUUCAUACAAACGAGAUCUGAAUCCAAAUUUCACUUUCUCUAUCUGUGAUGGUCUUUAUGGUUUUGGUUGGCUUAUUUCUUACAAAUAUGUAUGCAUUGUCAUUUCUUCUACUUCUGAUUGGAUCCGUCAAUUCACAGCCUUUGAUGAAUCGGAUUAUAAUAAUUUUGAUUGCAUUAAACAAACUGAAUGUCAUUGGCAUAUACAUAAGUCUCAUGCACUUCUUUAUUCUUUAAAUCAAGAAAAAUAUGUAAAACGUUAUUAUGAACCUAUUGAUCUUCAACUCAAAUAUAGGUUAGAUCAUUGUCAUAAAGAUGGAUUCUGUGGGGGUCCCCCCUAUCCUGUGUAUUAUCAGUAUUAUUAGUAGGAGCCAUGUAUGAAUAAGAAAGAAAAACUUCAAAAAGGAAGAAGUUGAAAGAAUAAAUUAAUGAAAAUCAAAACUUUGUUAUUUUAAUAAUAUUUCUCAUUGAUUAGAUUAGAAAGAUGAAUACAAUAAUUUAUAUAUAUCAAAAAAGAAAAUAUAAAAAUUGAAAAUGAUAAUAAAAAUCUUCAACCAACUAUCUCAACAAUAUUUUAACAGUUGAUUCACUCGAUUCAAUAACCAAAGAUUGAUUAUAUACAUGUGAUAAACUUCAUUUUGUGAGUAAUGCUAGCUUCAUUUAGAUACUAAAACUUUGAAGCUUAUUUGAAAAUCAUGCCAGAAUGUUUUUCAACAAAUCACAUUCUUUCAAUACACAUCUAACUAUCAAAUAAAUAUUAUUAAUAUAAACUCAUAACUUUGUUCCCUUUUGUAUUUACUAAACGAAAGUGACUUUUUUACACAACCCAAAUGAAAUAGAUUACCUUAAAUCAUUUUCAUUUUUAGCAGACACAUCCAACCAUAAAAGGAAGUCUAUUACAAAUAAUUGAAAUAAUUAGUUUUUGGCAGCCAGACUAUGAGUGAAAUGCAAUGCUUUGGUUAUCUUCAAAUCAGUCCGAAUAAUGGACAAUUAACAUUUAUUUAUGCUUGCUUUGUGGCGGAUUUUGUUAAGUCCAUUGGAGUUUUUGUGUGGAAUUUACUAAGAUUACUACACUCAAGCACCAAAUCAAUGGAUUGCUAAACACAUUCUAUAUGGAUCCUUCUCUGAUCCACAUAUUCCAAUUGGGCAUGCAUGUUUAUGAGUAUGACUCAAUUGAUUUAGGUGAGAGGAAAAAUUUAGUUUGAAUAUUAAGAUUUGAACAAAGUUGAAAUCUUAAAACAUGCAUACUGCAAUGAAUUAAUAAAAAAGAUGUACAUAUGGUAUGUCAAAUAAUUUAAUUAUGUAAUAUUUUUAUAAUAUAUUUCAAACAAAAUAUGUCUCCUAAAAAUCGUGACGAUGUAAGAUAUGUUUUUUUUGAACUCCAUUAUUGUUAGUUAUCGAGGUCUUUAGUCCAAUAUAUUUUUAAGAGACCAUCUUCAUAAUGAAUUUUAAAUAACCUCGUAUUUUUUUACGUUAAGUCACAUUCUUAAUUCAAUUAUACACCAACUAAGUAAUAAUAUAAAAUAAUGAGUCUUACAACCAAAAAGUAGUUAACAAAUUUAUGUAUAAGGUAAUAGUAAUUGACAAGACAACAAAUUUAAAAAACAAAUAAAAACCAAAUACUUACCACAUAGAGAUAAUAUUAAUUGUAUAGAUAAAAACUAUUUGGGCCUGCAUUAAUUAUAGGCUCUGUGUUGCACACUUGCAAUACACCCGCUAGUCACAUGGAGUGGUCUAGUUCAAUUCCUCUCUACUAUUGAUUAGAUAUGUUGACAUGUGGUACAAACAAAUUUUUAAUGGUCCAAAUUUUAACUUACUUUUAAAUUAAAUAAUUUGAAAAAUAAAAAUAAAAUCAUUUGUUCCCUUAAGAACACAUCAUAAUUAAGUUCUUGUGAGAAAAAAAAUGUAAAUUCAGUUUGGAAAUGUCAAGUCACACCGUAAAUGCUCAACUGCCAAAAGAAAUAUCUAUUUCAAGUGAUUCGAAGAGAAUAAUUAGUAGUUCAGUCAAGUUAUAUGAUAAGAUUCUAUUGCGAGGUGUUUUGCCAUAAGUGUUUCAUAAUUUCAUUUAGUUACUCUUUAGUGUUAACAUAAUAUUAUGGUUGAGAAAGAAUCUUCUCUAUUAAUAAGGGUGGGUGAUGUAACCAAUGCACCGUUUAAGGAAACCAAACAUAUAUGAUUUGUAUGUUGGAAAGUACAACUUUUGAAUUUACAAAAUACUUUUUGUUGGGUUUAUUCAAGUGUUAAGUCUCACAUUGGAUAUGUGUGGAGGAGUGAAAAAGUUUAUAAGUAGGAAAGACUCAUGGAACUAAUGCCUUAAAGUUUUGGUUCAAGACGUGGUAUCUCAUUUGUGACUCUUCACUCUUCUCAUACUCAUGUAACAAUGGAACUCCCUAGUGGUUAGAGGCUCCCGGUCGUAGUCUGGUCCAACAAGUGGUAUCAAAGCCGAUGGUUCGGCUGAGACAUGGUGGACAUAAGGGGAGCAGACCGGAAAGUGUGUGGUACCCACACUUGAGGGAGGAUUGUUGGGUUUAUUCAAGUGUGAAGUCCCACAUUGGAUAUGCGUGGAGGAGUGAAAGAGUUUAUAAGUAGGAAAGACUCAUGGAACUGUUAAGUGCCAAAUUGUUAAGGAAAUUUAUAUGCUUUUAGGGCACUUAGAGCGUAUUUAUGCUAUUAUCACAUACAAUUCCCAAUAACUUAGCUAAUCUUGUAUUGUUUAAGAAAUUACUCGUGUUUUAUUAUUUGUAGGUUUAGGAAUGAUGAACAAAGGAUAAAAAAAAUAGAAGAAUGAGUUUCUGAACAGCACAGGCCGCGCCCAAGUGAUGGAAUGAUCGCUCAAGCCAUAAUUAAGAAGAAAAUCACCAAAAAAUACUGACACCCCUCGCCCAAGCGAGGGAAUAGUCGCUCAAGCCAUAAUUCAGAAGAAAAUUACCAGAAAAUAUUGACACCCCUCGCCUAAGUGAGGGAAUGUCACCCAAGCACCAAUUGAAGAUCAAAAACCUGAUAGCUUUUGUUUCUCCCUCGCCUAAAAAUACAAAAAAAUCAUAGAAUUUAAUAUAUUUUUAUAGACUUUUCUCUAUAUUUUAAGAGAAUUCCUUUAUAUCUAUUAUUUUAACAGUAUAUUAAAAUGAGAUUUUAUUAGAAGAGUUAAUGAAUAUGUAGAAGAAGUGGUGAUCUAUUCUACACAAGUCUAAAGAAAAGUUAAAACAAUAAAAUUAUCUACAUAUUUUAAUAUUUAUUCUGCAUAAGAAUAAUUAAAAGUUGUAUAUCUUACUUUUAGAAUAUUCUAAAUAUUUAAGUCGAUUAACUUUAUCCUUUCGUCGAAACAAAAAUAUUAUUUCUAGGUUGUCAUAUAUUCUAAAUAAUUAUAAACUAUAUCGAAAUCUCAGUUUCUUCUUUUAUUUUUCACACUUGCUUCUCCUUCAUAUCUAUUGAUUAUACUUUAGCAGCUAGUAUCCCAUGUAUUGUGUAUACACUCUUAAAUUUUCCGUGAUUUAUGAAAAUUAUAAUAGAUUUAUUGAUCUUAAUAAAUUUAAGUUUUAACUAUAAAACAUAAUUCCAGUUAUUACUAUAAAAAAAAUACGUUGUUGUGUGAGACCACAUUUUUUUAAGAUAUAUCACUUUUGUUUUAUAAAAUCAAUAAUGGCUAAUUACUUGAACUUUUUAGUGAAUAAAUUUGUAAACAACAUUGAGUCUUUUUAUUUAUUUAUACUUAAUAAUUGACAUACGAGCUAUUUAUCAUACACUGUAUCAUACAUUAUAAAUUAACGAUGCCUAGAAAACAUUUAUUUAAAAUUUUAAUUAUUUCUUAUUAAAUAUUAAAAAAUAAAUUUUUAUUGUUUCUUACAUUGUAUCCUUUGAAGUAUUCACUGUUUUAAUAAAAAAACUUAAAAUGGGUCAAACUAUCAUCACUUAUUUUGGAGACAUGUAUAUAAUAUAAUGAUUUAAUAUUUAUAUUCUAAUAGUGUAAGUAUUUUUUAUACUAUCAGUAAAUCAUCCAUUAUUCAUAUGUUAAUUAUUAUUGACCCUCAAACAAAAGUAAUACAAAUCAAUGGUGGAUGGUGUGCUGACAACAUAUAAAACUUUACACUAACGAUGUAAAUAUUUAAACUCAUAAUAUAAUAUAAUAUUUGAUAUUACUAAGGGUCUCUCCUCACGUUUUGGUAAUGAACUAAUCAUAGAUGCCUCUCCCAACAAAUGUUGUUCCCAGUAAUCGAACCAUUAACUUUGGGGAUCCAAUUGGAUCAUACACCAUUAGACUAACGCCUAUUAGUUAUUAUAAUAUAAUAUAAGAUAUUAUAAGUUCGUAGAAAUAUAGAUAGAAUGUAGCAAAAAAAAUAAUGAAUGGCAAAAUAAUUAUGUAGAAUAAAUAGAAGAUAAAAAUAAGGGCCUAAAUAUUCCUUAAGAGCUUACCCGUGAAAAUUACGAAUUCAACUCGUAAUUAGAAUUAGUUCACUUCUCCUUUGAUGAUCAUAUCUCUUUUUGGUGCAUCACUAAUUUUGAUUAAAAAAAGUGAAUUGUUACCAAAUUAUUUUGUUGUUUUUUUAAUCAUUAUCAUCAAUUGUUGUAUCUAUUCACAAAAGGAAUUCAUAUAAUGUAGUAAUGCUUUCUUUGAUUUAUCAUUAAUACACAAAAAUCUUACCAAUUUGGAAUUGUUUUAUUUAUGUAUGAUGAACACAUGAAUUUCAUGCUCAAGUGCUAGCAUAAAAUAUUAUAUUCUUUGUAUAAAUAUUACAUAUAUACCAAUAAUAUGAAUACAUAUUUACAUUCAUUUAACCUUAUAAAACUAUUCUGUCAUUCAAACAAAGAUAAGAAUGAAAUAAUUAAUGAAUUUUUUCUAUAUACAUGCAUUUAGUCUAAAACACAAAAAUGUGACUUAAUAAGAUAAGAUGUAAUAUAAACUUCAUUCCCAAAAGAGUAUAAAUUGAGAACCAUUAUCUACCAUUUCUUGUAUCUCUCAUAGCCUAUCUUUCCCUAAGCAUCCAUUUUCAUUGAGCCAUGUCUAACCCAAUCCCUAGCUCUACUAGUAACCCAAAGAAGAACAAGGGCCGUAGAAGGAUUGAGAUGAAAAUGAUAGCCAAAGACAACAACCUACAAGUCACAUUCUCCAAACGCUGCACUGGGCUAUUCAAGAAAGUAAGUGAGCUUUGCACUCUUUGUGAUGCAAAAGUUGGGCUAGUUGUCUUUUCUCUGCCAAACAAGGCUUUCUCCUUUGGCGACCCUAGUAUUGAUGUUGUCAUAGACCGCUAUCAAAUGAGGGACCAACCACUGAACCUGGGGAACAUGCAAUAUCUUGAGGCUCACAUAAAUGCUAAUGUUCAUGAGCUUAAUGAUAAGAUUAAUCGGAUCAAUGAAGAUCUUGAGAUUGAGAAGAAGUGUAGUGAAGAGUUGGCUAAGAAAAGGGAAGAGGUACAAGAAUGUUUAUGGUGGGCUGCUCCAAUUGAAGAGAUCAAUGGAGAACGAGUUGAUCAAUUAAAGUCGACUCUUGUGAAUCUGAAGAAGAAUGUACUUGGUGUUGAUGAAAGGCAGAAUAUUGUUGAGAGUGCUGCUACUGUUGCUGCUGCUAUCCCACCACCUCCUCACUUUUUUAUAGGUGGUGCAUCUUCUUCAAACAACCCUUUGCCACCACCACCUCAGCCACCAACUCAGGAGUCUCAGGUGCAGCUGCCACCGCUACCUCAGCAGUUUCCUGUGAAUCCACAACCACCACCUCAGCAGUUUAUGCAUCCACAACCACCACCUCAGCAGUUUAUGCAUCCACAACCACCACCUCAGCAGUUUAUGCAGCCACAACCACUACCUCAGCAUUUUCCGAUGUAUCCACCACCACCACCACAUAUGCUUCAGAAUUAGUCCAUGAUGGUGCCAAAUAAUCUGUUCAAUGGUGGCAUGAUGAAUCACCCUGCCUUCAAUAAUAAUAAUAUGGGAGGAUAUGGACUUGCAAGUGGAUUAUUUUGUUCCAUUUCAAUCCAAAUCCACCCGAAUCCAAAUCUCCUAUACCAAAAGUUUUUUAUGCUUCUUUACCAACCCAAUGAUGUUUUUCUAACUACUUAAAUGUGUCACUAUGAUAAUUAAUGAGAACUAAAAUGAGGUGUGCUAUUUAUUACUAGGCAAAUUCUUAUUAGGUUGGUAUAGAGGCAUAAAAAACUUAUGGUAUAGAAAAUUUGGGUUCAAAAUAUGCCCUAUCUUUCUUUUCAAUAAUUUACUGUAUUUCAAUUUCUAUAUUUACCAGUUUCAUAGUUGGGACUGAUAAGAGUUUUGAUUUUCAUUAUGUUGCUUGUCUUGUCUGUUUAUGGCAUGUCAGUCAUAAUCUUUAUCAUUUUUUACUUAUGAAUGUAUUAUCAAAUAAAGGGCAUAUUUCUUUUUAAUAUUUCAACAUCUCUUUCAAUAAUGUAUAUUAUGAUAACUUGUUUAGGGCUCUCAAAUUAUGAACUCCCAAAAAAAAAAUAAAUAAUGAAUAUUUUUGCUAAAACUAACCGGAAUUGAUUAAACUAACAAUUCAGAUCAUGAACUAUAAUACCGAUUUAUUUUUGAUUUUGUAGAUAUAUGAAAGAGCCUUGUUGAAUCAUACAUGAAAAUUAUGGAUGAGGAGCCCUUCCAAAUUAUCAUAUACGUACAACAUAAAUGUGCCCUAUGAUAUAAUAUUUUCUUAACUUCAAUUCUAUCAUAUUUAUACUAAUACUAAAUCCACCAUAUAUGCAAUCUAACUUUUAAAUAAAAAAGUGAAUCAUUGGAAAAAAAAAUGGACGACGAAGAUAUUUGUUUUAUUUCAAAUAACUAAAAUUUAUUAAAAAAUUUGUAUUGAUCGAGUCAGUGAAAUCAUGACAUGUGACCUAUUUCAUCAUUUUUUAUAAAAAAAUUCCAAAACUAAAUAAAAUAGUACACAUGUCAUACUUUUACUAGCUUAAGAAGAUAAGUUAUCUCUUAAUGUGAGGAGAUACAUUAUUCUCAUAACUAAUAUAGUAAAACCUUAUUAGGAUCAUUGAAAGGUCUGCAAUCAAUGAACUUAAUUCCUCAAAGUUUAGCUCCAUCAACUAUUCUAAAAGAUCAACAUUACACUAAAUUUCGCAUUUAAUAAUGCUCAUUCAAAAAUGUACAUGUGUUGCAUACUGUUAAAUGUAAGGCUGAAGGUAAUUAACAUAAUUAGGUGAAGCAAAUACUGCUAAAUGUGAUAGAUAAAUGUGCAACCAACAACACCUAAUGAAGCAACCAUUAUUGUUUUUAUGACAUAGAUGUUCAACAUCGUUUAGUUAAUCGGGUGUUGUUCAAAGUGACAUAGCACUUUGUAUAGUGAGUGUUGUUGAAUAACAUGUUUUAAAUAUUGGCGUUUCGUGUAACCUAACUACAUAAAUGUAAUUAUAUACACUUGUAAACAGAUUAUACAAUAGUUAGGAAAGAAUGAACUAAUUUUUCCUAAGUAUUAUUGUAGGUUAUAUUAGUUUGGUAGUCUGUAUAGAUAGAUAUACAAGUAUAUAUAUUUAUUUAUUGCAAACUACUUGUAUAUAGUUGGAUUGUUGAUAUUGUGAAAUAGAAAAUGUAAUUAUUGUUGCCGAAAUAAAUGAGAUUGUUCAUAUUUGUCAUAACAUUGUGUUAUUAUAUGUGUUUUGUGUUGUUUGAUAUAUACGUGACAAUAUACUAAAUGUGUUUGGUUUAUCCUACCGGAACUAUUUGAUAUAACAAUAUUAUUUGAUGUAGUGUUAUAUAAAAUAGUAUUGUCAUAAGAAUCAACAUUUACUAUAGCAAGUGUUGUAAAUAUGUUGACAUUUCACACUUUCAACAACACUUAUUUAAGGAAGUUCUGUUGAUAAUGGUAUAUUCAACAACGCUUGCUUGAGGAAGUAUUAUUGAAAGUGACAAAUUAAAUAAUGCUUUCUAGAACAAGCACCAUUGAAAUUUAUAUAUUCAACAAGGCUUAAUUGAGAAAACACUGUUGAAAGUGACACAUUUAGCAAUGCUUUCUAGAGCAAGCGUUACUGAAAGUGACACAUUCAACAACCUUUCUUCAAGCGAGAACUAUUGAAUGUGUCACUUUCAACAUCGCAUUUAAAAGUACAGUUGAACCUAGCCUUAUAUUCUACCGUGAUUGCAUUAAUAUUACCUACAAGCCUUGUUGAUUGUCAAAUUUAAGCAUUAUUGUUUUGCAAUUUUAACAUAUUUCAAAAUAUACAUCAAGAUCGUCUUUGAAACUAAUGUGACAUUUUAGAUACAUCACAUGUGGUAUUCUACAUGCAUCUCACGUUAGCCUCAAAGACAAAAUUGGUGCACAUUGAGGAAUAAGUUGGUCAUGAUUUUUUUCAUGAACCUAAAUUUAAUUUUAUUUAUAAUUAGUACAUUGAUCCUGACCCUUCACAUAAGUUCUUAUUUUAAAAAACACGACAAAGAAAUAUCUCUUAUUUUCUGAGAUUCCUCUCACAGAGAGCUUAGUACAACAGCUCGUGAGAGGUCAUAUUUGAAAAACAAAAUCUAGAGUCUAACAAAUUUAAUGCAAAGUACCAGAGAUUGAAAACAAUGAAUUAGCUUUAUGAGAAUGAACAUAUUUUUCUAGUGUUAAAUAGGUGUAAUUAAAUUCUGAUUAAAAUUGCCAAAAUGGGCGUUCAUCGAUUCAAAUUAUGGUAACACUUUUAGAUAUACGACAAAAAGGAAUAAAAUUCGGAUCCCUAAAUUUAGUAUAUAAGGAAUUUUAUUAAAAGUGUUGCUUGUGCAGUAAAUAUUCUCUUGAAAACACUCCAUGACAAUAAAAACAAUCAAAAUUAUAAAAGAGAUUAACAAAUCCAAAUAGAUUUGGCUCAAGAUUAAACUGAAAAAGAAUGAAAUGAGGGAUGAUAUUUUUCCCACAUCCUUUUACCCAUAAUUCAUUUUUAUUCCUUACAAAAAAAUGCGUUGGAAAUAAAUAUUUUCUUCUCACUACUUUGUCAAGAACUAAAACUUAAAUUAAUCCCCAAUUAAAUAUUGAACAUUUUUUAUAAGGAGGGGUCUGUUUGAACUCUGUCAAGAACUAAAACUUAAAUUAAUCCCCAAUUAUUUAUUGAACAUUUUUUAUAAGGAGGGGUCUGUUUACAUUCAAGUUAAGUUAUACAAGUUACAAUUAAUCUCAGUAAUUUAUUUUCUUUAAUCCAACGGACCAAAUGAGUGAGUGCAAUAAAUGAUGCGAGAGAAAAGGAUAAAUCUUAAAUAACUUUUAAGUUUCACCUAUUUGGUCCAUUGGAUCAAAGAAAAUGAAUGUCUAAGAUUAAGUAUAACUAGCGUAACUUAAUAGAUAUUUCCUGAUGAUUGGUGAAAUAUCAAUCCGCGGAUCCUGCGAAAGUGGAGACGGUAAUGGAAUGGAAUUCUCCAAAGUCGGUGACGAGGAUUAGAAGCAUUCUCAGAUUAGCAGUACUAUAGGAAAUUCAUUGAAGGAUUUUCAUAGUUAGCCUUGCCGCUAACUACACUAACGAGGAAGGACAUACCUUUUGACUGGACGACGAAGUGCGAGUCAAGUUUUCAAGUGUUGAGGAGAGGUUGACCACAACGCCUGUAUUAGUCUUGCCAGAUCCCAACGAAAACUACAACAUAUAUUGUGACGCGUCGAAGCAAUGAUUAGAUUGCAUGUUGAUGCAACAAAGGAAAGUAGUGGCUUAUGCGUCAAGGCAGUUAAAGACACCUGAGCAGAACUACCCAACGUACAAUCUGGAACUAGCUGCAAUCGUGUUUGCCCUCAUGGUGUGGAGACACCAUUUGUAUGGUGUGAAAUUUGAAGUUUUCAGCGACCACAAGAGGCUGAAGUACCUGUUCGACUAGAAGGAACUGAACAUGAGACAAAGACGAUGGAUGGAAUUCCUCAAGGACUACGAUUUUGAUCUUCAGUACCACCCUGGAAAAGCUUACGUGGUGGUUAAUGCAUUGAGUAGGAAGUCUUUGAACAUUCAACCAUGAUGGUCAGAGAAAUGAAGCUGAUGGAGGAGUUCAGGGAUUUUAAUUUAGCAGUUCAAGUAGGACCUAAAAGUUUGAUUUUAGGUAUGCUUACCGUAAAAAAUGAGUUUUUGAAACAACUGAAGGGUUUACAAGGUUUGGAUCCAGAAUUACAAGAAAAGAGAGUCUUGUUAGUUGAAGGGAAAGCUCCGGAAUUUCAGGUAGAAACCGAUGGAGUACUCAAAUAUAAGAAUCGAGUCUGCGUGCCAAGAGAUCCCGAUUUAAGAAUGGAAAUCUUGGACGAAGCUCAUAAAAGCAAGCUAAGUAUUCAUUCGGGAGCUACCAAGAUAUAUCAAGGCCUGAAGAAGAUGUUUUGGUGGUCCAAUAUGAAGAAAGAUGUAGCGGAGUAUGUCUCCUGUUGCUUAGUGUGCUAGAAAGCAAAACUUGAGCACAAGUGACCCGAUGGAGAACUUCAACCCUUGGAUAUCCCUGUAUGGAAAUGGGAUAGCAUUUCAAUGGAAUUCGUGAGCGAUUUUCCAUGACCUCAGAAAGGUUAUGACGCUGUUUGGUUAAUUGUGAAUCGUUUGACGAAGACGACUCACUUUCUAUAAAUACACAUAAAGUACUCUUUGGAGAGACUAGCAGAGUUGUACAUUAACGAAAUAGUCUGAUUGCAUGAUAUUCCUACGAAUAUCAUCUCGGAUAGAGACCCUCGCUUGACCUUGAAGUUUUGUAAUGGUUUACAAACAACUUUGGGAACCAAGUUGAGUAUGAGUUCAGCCUACCAUCCGCAGACUGAUGGUCAAUUGGAAAUGACUAUCCAAUCAUUAGAGGAUCUUCUCAGAGCUUGCGUAUUGGAGAAUUCAGGAAGUUGGGCUGACUAUCUACAUUUAAUCGAGUUCACCUACAACAAUAGUUUUCACUCUAGUAUCGGCAUGGCGCCAUAUGACAAUACCAAAUCAUUAAGCUUAUCCCUAGGUUCAUAGGACAAUACCAAAUUAUUAAAAAAAUCGGACCAGUAGCUUAUCAAAUAGCCUUGCCACCUUUGCUGUCAAACCUACAUAAUGUCUUUCAUGUGUCUCAACUCAGAAAAUACAUUACUGAUCCGUCACAUGUUAUUGAACCCGACUCAAUUCAGUUAAAGGAUAAUCUCACUUUCGAGAUUUUUCCGUUGAGAAUUGCCGAUCGGAAUGUGAAAACUCUGCGAGGCAAAGAAAUCGCCUUAGUUAAGGUAAUUUGGAGCCAGACAAAUGGAGAAGAUGCUACUUGGGAUGUUGAAAGUGGCAUGAAGGAAUCAUUCCCCCCAUCCGUUUUCUUAAAAGGUAUGAUUAAUUUUCAAGGACGAAAAUUUUAUAAGUUGGGGAGGAUUGUAACACCGUUUUUUCAGAGCACUUUUAAUUAAGUAAUUAGUAUUAAUGUAUUAAUUAUAGAAAUUAGUUAGUAAUGUUUUACGCUAAAUCUCAGUUGAGUUUUAGUCUUUUAUUAGAUUUUCUUGCUUGCCCUAUUUUUUGAAGAUUUUUGGAGAAUAAAAGUUUCUGAGACGAUUUCGGGUCGUUUUAUCGAGUUUUCAUGCAGUUUUUGAGUUCUGUAACUCAAAAUCGAAUUCCGAUUUCUCUGUUGGCUUUGAAAUAUUAUUUACAGUCAAAAUAGAUACCAAGGUUAUCUAUAAAUCAUCUCUAGAUAUUUUUCAUCUAGAAAUUCAAGUUUCGACAUUUCGGGCAAAUGUCCUAGAUCAGGAGAUUGUAUAUUUCCAGACGAAAUUAUCCGAAAAUGUUCGGACACGAAGUUUAUCCGGAAAUUACAUCAUAUCAAUAAAGUUGGAAGUCAUCAUUUCAUGAGCCACUUACUUGUUACACAAGUAAGGCAAAAGCUUCCAAAAGCCCCUAAAUCACUCAACAAAUCCUCUCACUCCACCACCAUUAAACUCAUCACCUAUGCUAGUCUAAAUCUACUUACUUUGCAUUAAAUUUUCUGAUUUGAUGAGGGUCAGGUUCUCCUAUAAAUACCUCACCCCAUUCUCUCAUUUUUACACUAAAUUCCGUAUACAAACUAAGGUAGUCUUUUAUUUUCUCUUCUUCAUCUUCUUCUCAUACUUCAUAGAAAGUUAUGAGUUUUUAUUAUGUUGUUCAUAAAGUAGAGUUUAUAUUUGAUCUUUAAUUAUUUUAUGAAGGCAUAACUAAAGGGGGUGAUAAUAAAAUCAUAUAUACCCUACUCCAAACAACAAAAUAGAAAUGGAAAUCGCUCCUAGCGGCUAGCUCCCGUGUCGGCGGGUGCGCUAGAGCACUCACUCUGGUCCUCCUCCAUCUCAGAGUCGGAGGAGAGUUUUAUAAACGUCCUACCUUAGGAUUUAUUUUCAUAACUAUGAAAUUAACACUUACUAACCCUUUAGGUUUUUCCUAAAAAAUUAGGAGGUGUUAAGAUGUUCAUAAAAAAUUGUUGUAUUUAUUUUAGUUGACUUACUUUAAAGUGGUAAGAAUAACUAAAAGAUGUUUAGUGUAAAAUAUUAAAUUAAGAGUCAUUCAUUUUCAUGACUAUGAAAAUAUCACUUACUAAGCCUUGAGGUUUUUUCCUAAAAUAUUAGGAGCUGUUAAGAUGUUCAUGAAAUAUUUUUUAGUAGUAUACUUGAAAUAAUGAGAUUUACCUAAAAGUUUUGACUUUAUAAACUUAAAGUGUUAUGAAGUCUUAGACGGUAAAAUGAUUUAAAGAUGUUGAAUCUUAGUAAAAUGAUGUAAAAAGUUAUUUCGUAAAUAUAAUAAUUAUUGUCAUUUAACUAAUUAACGUUAUUUUGGUGUAAUGAAGAGUUUGAGAGGAGAUCGAAUCAAGUAAGCUCACCUGCAAAUAGAGAACCUAGAGACCUGACACACUUAGGUGAGGAGAAAACAUCGUGACACAGUGGUAUCCGAAUAUGCAUUAGGACCCCCAAACUCCCUCACAAGUUUGGAGUUGCCUUGGGUAUUAAGAAAACUUGUACUUAAUCAAUUGCCUUUUCGUUUGGAUUAAGUACAACAAUAUUUCUUAUACAGAUUUAUGUUAUGUUUAUGUAUGCAAAUACAAUGUUUACUCUUGAAUUAUAAUGUUUGAAUGAUUAUUAUGGGAAUGAUAUGUAUGUGAUAAUUGUUAAAUUCAAGGUUUAUAAACAUGUGAUAUAAUUGAGUAAUAUUUUCCUUGAGAAAAGUAAUUUAAAUGAUAUUCAGGCUCUUCUCGCUGGAGCGAGACAGCUCUCGUUGGAGCGAGAAGUGUCUAGAGAAAAUGAGUGUUUUUUCUCGGGGCGAGAUAGCUCUCUCUUGAGUUAAAAUAGGCACCAAGAAAACUGAUUGUUUUCUCGCUUGAGCGAGAAGGCUCCAUACAUACAUGACUUCUUUUUAAGUCGUCUGAAAGAUAACUCUCAUAUAUAAGAGAGCCUAUUGGCAUGUUUGCAUUCAAGAAGUUGUAAAGGUAAAUAACUAUUUGAAAUUCUUGAAAGUAAUAAAUGUAAGGAGUUGCUUUGUUAAAGGCGAGGCCCGAGGGUGUGAUAUUAUGCCCACGCAGCGAGAUCGUUUGACCGUAAGAGGCUUGGCAAGAGGAGUCGACCAGGAUGAUUCAAUGAUGGUUCGUAGUGGUGCUGAGAAGUAUUAUGUUGUGCCCAUGCCGCGAGAUCGUCUAACCGGAAAAGGCUUGGCUUGAGAGACGUCCAGGAUAACUCAAUGAUGGUUCGUAGUAGUGCUGAAAUUAUUCUCCUUUUGUUUAUAUGUUAAGAUGAGGACCCACUAGAAGCAUUCCCGAUGGGAGAUGUCUUAGGAUGGGCAUAACACUAGAAAAGAUUGAUUAAAAGAUAUAAUUUUCUUAUUUCCAUUAGCGUGCAUAUCCAUGGUAAAAAAUGUAGUAGUGGAGAGGAAAUGUACGGGAGACGAAUGAGCCCCAAGAUGUUGAGAGGGACGGUGUUGAUGGCGGUGAUUCAUCAGCAAAGUCUUGAGGGAGAGUCUAGGUGAGACGAGUCCCAUGUAUUCCUGGAUGAGAUAUUCUGUUAGAUCGGAUAGUGGUCACUUUGCAAACUAGUCGAUCUUUGACAAUCCCUCAUUGCAAUCAGGAUCGACGAGAGGGAUGCCCAGAAAGUGUUUGAUACGACACUGUCCUGAAAUGGACAGUUCCGUAUUGGAACAUAUUGGUCAUAUAUCCUUGCGAGGAAUAAUUUUGGUGCGAUCAAAUCGGCUUGUUAUGGGAACUGUACUCUCGGUUAUUUCCGAAUAGUUAUUGGGAGGAUAAAGGAGUACGGAUGGUGGACUCAUGCAUCACAUUGCAUACAUGAUAUUCUUCGAUAUUGAUUCUAAAUUCUCGAGUUUUAUACUUUGUUCAUCAUUAUUAUAUACUUGUAUGAUCACAUGAUAUAUCUAUACUUGUGCGUUGUCUUGGUGUAUUAUUCUGUGUAAUUCCACGACGUCGAUGGCAAGUUUUUCAUAGAUGUUUUACUCCCUCUCUUUUCUUUUGGUGUAUUUGUACGCAAUGUCAUAUGGACCCAUCAGCACUAAUCCGAGGUUAUCGCUUCACUAUAUCCCAGGAGGGGACAUGGAGUGUUGAGGGUAAUCGGUACACUUACGCAGGUCCUGACGACCUGGAGCUGAAUUGGGUAAGAAAUGGCUCAGUUGUGCAUCUUCCACCUUACUACGCAGUUUGGGAGGCAUCAUUCACUUUGCCCGACCGAUGACAUCCAACCACUGAACUUUCUGUACCAGCUGCAGCUUGAGUCGUAUCAGAAGUUGUUAGGACCUGGCCCCUAAAAGGAUUCUCAUCAUCAGGAUCUAUGCCAAGAGAGACAAACGGGGCCAUGCCAAGGGGUACACCCUGGACCCCUCGUUGGAUUGGGGAGCGGAUGAAGUGGAGGAGGAGGAAGACAAUGGCGACUGUGUAGAGCUUAUCUUUUUAUGAGUGGAUGUAGAAAUGAAUAAGUAUAUGAAUAUAUGAACGAUGUUUUUAGGUUGAUGAAUGUAUGGAUGAUAUACAUUUUACUUUUCGAACGGAUGAAUGUUUGAGUUGUGUAUUUUUUUAAUAUAUGUAUGGAUGAAAGGUUGAAGGAAUGUUCAAAUGAUGUAUUUUGUUUUACAUGAACGAAUGAGUCAAUGAAUGUUUGAAUUAUAUAUUUUUGAAUGUAUGAAUGAAUGCAUAAGUGAAUGAAGAAACGAGUGAAUAGAUAAUUGAAUGAAUAAAUGAGUAAUAAUAUUUUAAUGAUGUAGUUUUUGUUUUUGAGUUAUUUGUUUAUGGAUGAAAUGUGUAAUAAUGCAAAAUAAAUGUCCUUAGGGUAAUGAACCCUAUAUUAUGUUGAUUUAGUCAUUAUUAUAACAUAUGAAGUGUCACAAUGAGUUGCCACAUGUCAUAUAGUUCAGGAUAUCCUAGUGUAAAGAUGAGUUACUUUUAAAAUGGUGGAUCUUAUCAAGAGUACUUUAUCUUGCGUGAAGAUAAUAUGUGCCUUUGGUAUAGGGAUAUCAAUGUGCAACGAUAUCCUAUACAAUUAGGGCUUAGGAUGAUGUUUGGGUCACUUUAUUUAAGGAAUAUUAGCCUUGCCUUGUAUUGGGAAUUAAAUAGAAAAAAUUGUUGACGGGUGCAAAUGAAAGUAUGCUUAAUGAGUCUUAAAUGAGGUAUAAUUACAAGAUUUUGACUAAUCUAAAAGUCACAACCCUAUGGUGAGGCACUAGGUAUUAUUUAAGGUGUACUCAAUAAAAGCUUUAGACUUCUAGUUUACUAAAGUGCAUCUAAUCUAAAAAGAAAGGAAACCAAAUAUCAUAGUUAGAAAUGAGAGGAGACUAGCCCGCAAGUGCAUAUCUGACAAUACCAAGAAUAAUUUAGGUGAUUCGUCAUGCUAAUACUAGUGAGACAACGUCUGACACCAGAUAAAGCGGAUGUCCUUCCCAUCUCAAUGCUAAUCUUUAAUGUCCGGGUUCAAGACAUAUGUGUACAAAUUUAGUGUACAACAAUGUUAGUUAUGACAAGAUAGAGUCUUGCUCCUAUGUAUUCCUAUGAAUAGUAGGGAAUCAAUACUACCUAGUUCUUCGUAGAAAAAUAUUUGUUUGUUGGAUUUAUUUUAUUUAUUAGAUGAUUUAGCAUUGUUUAUUUUUUAAAAGAUGAUUUAGUAAUUAUUUAUGAGGCAACAACUCUCAUAUUCACACCACAUAUCAGCUUAAAGGGAUCAAUUUUAAUUAAUUAUCCAUUUCAAGUGAAUUAGGCGACGCCAUUCGUGUCUGCACCACAUAUUGACUUAAAGAGAUAUAUUUUAAAUCAACUAUUCACUUCAAGGUGAGUGAGAUGACAACAUUCAUGUUUGCACCAUAAUUGUUUUUCAGGGAAUCAUUUUUUUUAAUUUGUUACGUGCUUACAAAACUUAAGUGACUUAGGUAGCAAUACUCAUGUCCGCAACACAACUCAAAUAACAAGAAAAUAAUUGAGAAGAAGAAUUUUUAUUUACUACAUCUAAAAUGUUUACAUGUUUAUUUAAUUAGAAGAAUGAUAUUUGCUUAAUUAUAUACCCAUCAUUUAUAAAAGAAAAUAAAUAUUUAUUAUUAUUAUUUAAAAUAAAAAACUAAUAAGUUAAUCAUUAUUUAGUGAUAUAAAAAAUAAUUAUCACCAUAAAAGCUAGAUAAACAUNNNNNNNNNNNNNNNNNNNNNNNNNNNNNNNNNNNNNNNNNNNNNNNNNNNNNNNNNNNNNNNNNNNNNNNNNNNNNNNNNNNNNNNNNNNNNNNNNNNNCUAAUUCAUGUCUCCAAUCAAUUAAAUCAUUUUAUUUUUUAGAAUCAAAUAUGUUAUUAAUUAAAUUUAUUAUGAAAUUUGAAUAUUCGAUAUAAUAUAGCUUCCAAAUUAUCUAGAAAUAUCUUAUCAAAACUUUAUAAAGUCUCAAAAUAUUAUUGUUAUACUUAUAUUGAUUCGACUUUAAAAUUGUGGUAUCCAAACGGCUUUUGUUUGGUAAAAAUCUCAUGGAGACUUUAGAAAAAUCCUAACACUCUAUGGCAUAACCCAGUUAUAAGUAUAAAACAUAUUACUUGACUUUUAUGAAGUCUAAGUGACUAGAAUAUUUUAUUAUUAUUUUUAUAUAAGAAAUGAAAAUCGAAGAGUUAUCACAUUUUUUUUAAUAUAAAAAUAGAAUCUUUCAAUUACUAGGCUAAUAAGUGUUUAUCAAGUGAUUUAAAACUAUUUUUUAUUUAAAAAGGUUAAAAAAAAGAGAAACAAGUGAAAAUUGAGUCAUUUGUUAUCCUUAACUAAUUAUGAUGUAAUUAUUAGUGUAUUUUAAAAUGCAACUCAACCAAAUUGAUAUCAAAUUAAUUUGAUCUCGUUUGCUUAUUUUUAUAUUUCAAACUUAAUUUAUUCAUUGAUCAAACUUUGAUAAAUUCAAUUCUCAAAAGAUUUAAAUAUUUUUAUCGUAGUCAAUUAUGUAACUAAAUCAAACUGAUAUCAAAUUUAUUUGAUUUAAUAUAAUUUGCUUAUUUUAUAUUGCAAUUCUUAAUUUAUUUUUUGAUCAAAUUUUGAUGUAAGAAAAUCUCUAAUGAUUCAAACAUUUUAAUUAGUUAUUUUUUAUAUACUUUUAAGGUUUAUAUUUUUGUUAUUUUUUAUUUUAUAAAAUGACCUAAGUAAAAUUAGGUGUUCAUAGACUUCAGGUAGCAAAUAUGAAUAUUGUGUUAGAUGAGUGAACACAAUAGACAAUAUAAGAUUAGAAAUGAAAAUACUAUUCGAAAAAAUUUGAGUAGCUCAUAUUAUAGAAAAGAUGAUAGUAUCGUGUCUUAGGUGAUUAAGGCAUUUGUGAAGAAAACUAGUAGAAACCCUAUAGCGAUAGUAGAUCAAGUUCCUAAAAAUUGAGGAUACGAAAAAAUCAUAGGAAAAAUGAUAGAAAUUAAUGAUGUAUCAAUAAACUGUUUGGUAGCAGUGGUCUAGGAACACCUAGAAGGGGGUUGAAUAAGUGUAGCGGUUAAAAAAUUACCGCUUUUUAACAACAACCCAACUGCUGGAAAAACAGUCCCGUUAAUCGAUUAACAAAAGGGUUUAAUCGAUUAACACAGUUACAGAGCAGAUUAACAAAACAAGCAAAUUGCACGACAAUUAAGAUACACUUUAAACAUAUAUAUUUAAGAUAUUUUUGCAUACAAGUGUUAACUAUAUAGCACUGAACACAUAUCCAAAUUCUCAGGAAUAUAUUCAGUGUAUCAAUGCAAGAACCAAAAGAAAGAUAAAGAAAGAAAGAACAGUGCAAAAAUGAUUUUUAUCCUGGUUCGUUUGUGGUCCACUGCAAACUACAUCCAGGCCUCCCCUUCUAGAUCAUGGAGAUUUUCUUUCUUCACAAUAUUGAAUUAAGGUACAGUUACCAAUUCAAUUUACAAGCACAAGGGAUGCCCCCUUCUUGAAAUCUAGGAUCUCUAAAACCUGGUUUGACUUCUACUCUUUCGCCUCUUGAGAAAACCUUUCUCGCGAACAAGCCCCCCAGCCAAGAAUCUUAUCCUCAAAUCAAGCCCCAACUAAGAAUCUUGAUUUCACACCAAGAGACAAAUCCAGACUACACAGCACACGUUAAAAUCAAGGUAUUCUAAGCACAUAAAGCCUAAGAUAGUAGAAUGCAAAGACUAACGAUUAACCCUUAUCCUAAUUGGUUAAGCCAUCAAUAUACAAAGGAGUUAAUCAGUUUUCAGUAUACAUGUGAGCAAUAGCAAAUGAAUAUGAAAUUAUGCAGAAACAUAAAGCAUGUUACAGAAACAAAAGAGCAUAAUCUCUUUUCUCACACAUGCAACUCUCAUGCAAAAUAACAGUGAAAAUACGAAGGCAAAUGCUCUCUAAUACAACCCUAAGCAAAUAGAAUGAAUGCUAAUAAGUUAUGAGUAAAGCCUCAUAUUUAUAGCAUGGUGAAUAAGUGGUUUAAGUCGUGGCAAAAACAGUUAAACAAUUAAGUAGUUACAACAGCUGAAACAUAUUUUAGUUAUAACAUAAAAUAGACGCGUUAAUCGAUUAAGACUACCAUUUAAUCGAUUAACGGACUUACAGAAUGACAUCCAAAUAAGCAAAAACAGAAAACACACAUUCAACAGAAAAUCAGUUACGUUAAUCGAUUAAGCUUACAUGUUAAUCGAUUAACUGGAGCAUUUAUGCAUAUGUUUCACAAGGCAAACUUCUCAAAUGUUAUGUGAAAUAUGUAUACAUGUUUUACCAUUUAUAUUAUGCCUAAUAUGCACAAAUAACAUGUAUGAUAUAUGCAUGAACAUACGAUUAACUAGAUGAUUUAUCUCAUGAAUAUGAUAGUUCAAUUAUGAUGGCUUAAGAGAUUAGCAUCUACGUUCACCUAACCUAUACUCACUUACUACGUCACACAUCCCAUACUACUUAGAUUAUAGACUCAAUUUAUCUCCUAGUCUAGAUAUAACCAAAUCAGCAUAGGGCAUGUUGAUUGUUGAGCCAUCUUCAAGCUUUGUUAGAACCUUGUCUUCAUUAAAACAUAGGCUAAGAUAUGCUAGUGCUGUUCUUGACACUUUGCACUUUCAAUCUCCCCCUUUUUGAUGAUGACAAACACUUCAUCAAAAAAUCUUCAAUUUGUUGAUGGAUAAGCUUGAUGAUGAAUUUGCACUGAUGAAUUUGCAGAAUGGUUUUUAAAGGUUGUUUUUCAAAUACCAAAGUUAAAGCGCAUUGCUUCUCUAUUUCAUUAGCAAAAGUAUGUACGGAAGCUGAAUAGAAACAACCUGCAAAAAUGCUUUAUACAACCUGCAAAAUGUAUGUGACGCAACAAGCAACCUUUCUCCCCCUUUUGACAUUUUCAAAAAGAUAAGUAUAUUCAAUUAUAGUCAAAGAUUAGGAGAGUUAUAAAGGUAUAAUCAGUUAAACCUGGGUAGAUAACUAAUUAUUCAGCUGGAAGAAGCUUGAACAAAUGCACAACUUUUAUUUUUACCGCAUUUAAUCGAUUAAGUAGUGUUGUUAAUCGAUUAAAUGUACACCAGAUAGUAGCAGAAUAGUUUGAAUGGCAUGAAAGGGGUUAUGCAUAAGCAAAUUAAGCAUGAAAUGAUUACGCCUUUGAUAAAUUAGAGUAUUUUGCAGCAGGCACAAUCAUUCAACAUUGUCACAUAUACCAAUCAUAAUCAAGAUCCAUUACAAACAACGUAAAGUGCUAUAUGUAACAUAAUUAAAAAUCAAGCAUGAACGUAAUAAUUCGAAAACUUUAACAUGUAAAACAGUAGUGGAGCAGUAGAUUAGAGUUAGUUAUAAUCCAAAAUGAAAUGAAAUAGCAAUGCUAAGCAAAGACAAAAUUCUCAAGAGGAAACAGGAUCAACAAUUUCCAUUAGCUAGGAAAGGAUAAUCUAAGGUUCUAAGGCUUCCUAUCUAAGGAUAAGAUGUAGGAUUCUGGUUGUCAGGAGUCAACGAGCUACAACCACCCUUGAUUAAGACACUCAACCUGUUGAGCUCAUCACACAUUCUUCUGGUAUGAGAAUCAGAAGUAGUCUGAAUGAAGUUCCGCAAGGNNNNNNNNNNNNNNNNNNNNNNNNNNNNNNNNNNNNNNNNNNNNNNNNNNNNNNNNNNNNNNNNNNNNNNNNNNNNNNNNNNNNNNNNNNNNNNNNNNNNCAAGGUUCACAUUGUUGUAGUCUUCUUGAUAUUGCCAAGUGUUGCCAUACUUGUAGAUGCCCAUUUUGUGAAUUAAACUCUCACUAAUCAAGUGAUCUUUGUCUGAGCAGUCCAUCACAAUAGUAUUCGAGAUGUCAAUAUGUAGAUAAUCAAUCACUCGGGACACAAAGAUACUAUAAGGAAGCAGUUUUGAUUGAGAGGUAGAGACGCUAUACAUGACCUUCAGAAUUUAUGUUGGCCAAUUUAUCAUUAUGGUCUCUUUCACAGCAAACAUAAACCUCAAAUCAUUCAAGGUAGGUUGUGCAUGAUUUGUGUUUCUCUGAAUUAAAAUGUAGGCAAUCAAGUAGUGCAGGAGCCUAUUUUCUACCGACAGAGAUCCAGCUUUAGUUAGUUCGCCUUGUACAAAGAGUUGUGGUCUACGCAGGCAUGACUUAUACAUUUCAACAACAUCGAAGGAGUGGUUGUUUGCCCAACCACAAUUACUCAAACUAGCACCAGAUGCAGCUAAUCCACCCACAUUCAUAAAGACUUCUUCAUUAAUUUCGAACAACUUUCCAGCUAUCAUCGACCAAUAUUUCCCAUUUUUAUAUCUAAAAUUCGAGUAAAAAUCUCUAACUAGAGCAGGGUAAAUGUUACCUUUCAGUUCCAUGAAGGGGACAACCCCUUGAGAUUGAAAACGAAUCGGGAACUCGAAGUUUUGUUCCACAAGCCAAUCCACAUUAUCAAACCGAAUGUAUGUAGGUUUUCUUCCCUGAAACUUCUGCAGCCUUGUUUCUUGUAGAAUUAGUGAAUAAUAUGGGUCCCCGCGGUCCUCCCUUGCUGGUUGAGAAGGCACGACUCUUGGAGCACGCUGUGGAAGUAUCGCGAUUGUUUUGAUUCUUUUUCCACGUCCUUUGUCCAUUGCAAUUAGAACUGAACCGUGAUGAAGGUUUACAAGAGGGAUUGAGGGAAACCUAGGUUAGGGUUUUCAGUUUGGGGAAAGUGGGUUUCUUGGGAAUAGAAGAUGAGGAAGGCNNNNNNNNNNNNNNNNNNNNNNNNNNNNNNNNNNNNNNNNNNNNNNNNNNNNNNNNNNNNNNNNNNNNNNNNNNNNNNNNNNNNNNNNNNNNNNNNNNNNGAUUUGGGGCUAGGAUGAAGCUUUGGAUAGUGUUGGACUUGUUCCUCUGAGAUUGGAUAGAAAAGAGAUGAAUGAGGUUUUGUAAAAAAAUGUUCAAAAAACGCUACUGUUUCUGAUAUAAGACUUCCGUUAAUCGAUUAACGGCUUGACUUAAUCGAUUAACUAAUAGAAAAAUAACAGGUUUUUAAAGAAUUUGUCCAGGUAAUCGACUAAUGCCUGGUCUUAAUCGAUUAACUGUAUCAGAUACAACAUUUUGACUGUUUUUAAGCAUGCAAUGAUUUCAAACUUUAUUGGCUGAAAGGUUUUUAAGCAAUCACAGGUAUUUCAAAUGUUUUUAGGCAUAUAAUCAUGAUUUAUACAAAAGGUCAUAAGCAUUUUAAUCACCAUGUUUGACACAUUCAAAGAGAUCAUGCAAGACAAUCAGAAAAGAAGAAUUAAUCAAGAUAUUUUUCAUCAAGGAUUCCUAGUUCUCUUUGAAGAACAUAGAAAAUAUCUCGUGAGAAGGGCUUGGUGAAUAUAUCUGCUAGUUGUUUAGAAGUUUCAACAAACUCUAAUAUGCAAUCACCUUUUUGAACAUGAUCACACAAGAAAUGGUGUCUUAUCUCAAUAUGCUUUGUUCUAGAAUGCAAAACGGGAUUCUUGGAAAGGUUAAUGGCACUCAUUUUAUCACACUUAAGAUCUUUUCUAAUAUGAGCCCAAAGUCCUUAAGUUACUGCUUCAUCCAAAGGAUUUGAGCGCAACACACGCCAACGACAAUGUAUUCCACUUCAGCGGUGGACAAAGCAACGCACACUUGCUUUUUGCCGUACCAUGCAACCAGGGAGCUGCCUAAUAGGUGACAAGUCCCACUAGUGCUUUUAUGAUCUAACUUACACCCAGCGAAGUCAGAAUCGGAGUAACCUACCAAGGAUAAGGAGGCAUCCCUAGGAUACCAUAAUCCCAUAUUUAUUGAUCCUUUUAGAUAUCCGAUGUUACGUUUUAUAACAAUAAAAUGUGAUUCUUUUGGCAAAGCUUGAAACCUAGCACACAUAGAGACGCUAAACAUAAUAUCGGGGCGGCUAGCAGUUAAGUAUAAUAAGGAGCCGAUUAUCCCACGAUAUUUGGUUACCUCAAUCGCUUUUCCACAAAUGCUAAACAUGAUAUCAGGGCGGCUAGAAGUUAAGUAUAAUAAGGAACCGAUUAUCCCACGAUAUUUGGUUACCUCAAUCGCUUUUCCUUUUUCAUCUUUGUCCAGAUAACAUGCAGAUGCCAUAGGUGUAGAUGCAUCCUUGAAUUGCUCCAUGUCAAACUUCUUUAGUAGUUCCUUGCAAUACUUCGUCUGAUGGAUGAAGAUGCCGCUUUCCAUUUGUUUUAUUUGAAGUCCAAGAANNNNNNNNNNNNNNNNNNNNNNNNNNNNNNNNNNNNNNNNNNNNNNNNNNNNNNNNNNNNNNNNNNNNNNNNNNNNNNNNNNNNNNNNNNNNNNNNNNNNUCUGGCUACAGGAGCGUAGGUCUCAUCAUAAUCGAUGCCCUCCUCCUAGUUGUAGCCCUUGGCCACUAAGCGAGCCUUAUUUCUAAUUAUUAAGCCAGAUUCAUCUAGCUUAUUACAAAAGACCCAUCUGGUGCCAACUAUGGGAUGAUCUUUUGGUUUGGGGACCAAGUCCCACACAUUAUUUCGUUCGAACUAGUUUAGCUCUUCUUGCAUAGCUAUACCCCAGUGUACAUUCUCAAUGGUUUCAUCGAUGGUCUUUGGCUCUAUUUGAGAUACAAAUGCAACAAAAUUACAGAAGUUUCGUAAAGAGCUACAGGUUAUCACUCACGUAGAUAUAAAACCUAGCACUUUAUCGAGCGGAUGAUCCCUCUUUGUUUUCCACACGAUAGGCAUAUCCUGAUGUUGCUCUGCUACUGUUUGCUCCACUUCUUGUUGGAUCCCAUUCAUGUCCUAGUUUGGCACCUCAUCAAGUGUUCCUGAAAUAUCAUCAGAAAAGACCUUUCUCUUCUAUUUUGGAGAAGAUUCGUCAAAAUGCACAUGAAUAGACUNNNNNNNNNNNNNNNNNNNNNNNNNNNNNNNNNNNNNNNNNNNNNNNNNNNNNNNNNNNNNNNNNNNNNNNNNNNNNNNNNNNNNNNNNNNNNNNNNNNNACAAGAAAAAAUUAGAUCUAAGGUUUCAUUUUCCAAUUUUAAUUCGUCUAAUUCUUUCUGCAAUUGGUUUAUCUUUUGUUGAUUUAGCAAAAUAAUUCGUUUUCUCUCGUUGCUUACUUUUGCUAAUUUUUUAAGUUCUUCAUGCAUCUCAACAUAAGCACUAUAUAAUAUUUCAUAUGAGGGAGAAUUAGUAGAAGAGGAUGAUGUAUCAGAAUAUACCUCAUAUGAAGUAUCCUUGCUGUCUGAUCCACAAGCCUCAUUUGUUGUUGUCAUUAAGCAUAACUUUGCGGUCUCCUCUUCAUCUGAGGUGCUUGAUGUUGUUUCUUCCUCGGGUACGUCUCAUACAAUGUAUGCUUUCUUUGGCUUGAGUUCUCGGGGAGUGCUCUAUUCUGAAUCAAUCCUUUUUAAGUAAGUGGGGCACUGAUACUUCAUGUGUCCCGGUUUACCACAUUCGUGGCAGGUGAAGCACUCUUUUGUCUUGCCUUUUCUGGUUGAUUCACAUGCUUCUUUCUUCUGGAAUCGUCUAAAUCCUCCUUUAUUUUUCAAGAAGUUUCCAAAUUUUCGUACAAGGAGAUUUAGCGUUUCAUCGUCAAUGUCUGAAUCGAAGUCAUCAUCGUUUAUCUCUUCAUUGGGUUGUGAUGUUGAAGCUUUGAGAGAUAUUCCCUUCUUUUUGCGAUCGUACUCCUCAUUCAUUGUCAAUCGACCAAGCUCCAUUUCAUGCUCUUGAAGCUUUCCAAAGAGAGUCGCCAAAGGCAUGGAGUCUAGAUCCUUGGACUCCAUGAUUAUAGUCACUUUAGGUUGCCAUCUCCUAUCAAGGCAACGUAAGACUUUAUUAGUGAGAUCUCCUCUGCUGAACAUUUUAUCUAGAGCAAUAAGAUGGUUAAUAAUUUGAGUGAAUCGCUUUUGCAUAUCGCCGAUCGAUUCACUCAGUAGCAUACGAAAUAAUUCGUAUUCAUGUGUUAGCGCGUUUAGCCUGGUGCGUUUGACCUCGCUUGUGCCUUCGUGAGUCACUUGUAAAGUGUCCCGCAUUUCCUUGGCACUUUGACAUUGAGAUAUCUGAAAGAACUCAUCGUAGGAUAGGGCUGAGGUUAUGAUGUUUUUGGUGCGAAGGUUGAAUUGAACCUUCUUGCGUUCCUCAUCGGUCCAUAGACUUUUAGGUGUUUCUUUCGGUUCGCCAUCCACUAGGUGAAGUGGGACGAAANNNNNNNNNNNNNNNNNNNNNNNNNNNNNNNNNNNNNNNNNNNNNNNNNNNNNNNNNNNNNNNNNNNNNNNNNNNNNNNNNNNNNNNNNNNNNNNNNNNNGGUAUAGCGGUUAAAAAUUACCGCUUUUUAACAACAAUCCAACUGCUGGAAAAACAGUCCAGUUAAUCGAUUAACAGAAGCGUUUAAUCGAUUAACACAGUUACAGAGUAGAUUAGCAGAACAAGAAAAUUGCACGACAAUUAAGAUACACUUUAAACAUAUACAUUUUAGAUAUUUUUGCAUACAAGUGUUAACUAUAUAGCACUAAACAGAUAUCCAAAUUCUGAAGAAUAUAUUCAGUGUAUCAAGGUAAGAAACAAAAGAAAGAUAAAGAAAGAAAGAACUGUGCAAAAAGAACGGUCCACUGCAAACUACAUCUAGGCCUCCCAUUCUGGAUCAGUGAUAUUUUCUUUCUUCACAAUAUUGAAUUAUAUAACGUCUGCAAUUUUCUAUUCUUUUAAUAUGUGAAUUAAAAAUCUUGAUUUAAUUUUGUAUAUUUAUCUAAAGAUAAUUAUGAUUUUUUAGAAUAGUUGUAAAUCUUUUAGUGUUUAUUUAAUGGGGUUAUGAUUUUUGUGCUAUUCGAAAAAGAAGUUAUUUUAUUGGUUACCUAACGUUCAAGUGAAUAUAUAUAUCAUCUCGUAAUGAGUUUUUGUAAAAAUAAUGUUUUUUAAAAAGGUAAUUUGUGUUAGAAGUAUUAUUUUAUCGUUAUGUUGAAUUAUUCAUAAUCUUAAAAGUACUAUACUUCAAGUAUUUCUUUUUUUAUAAUAAUUUACUACGUGAAUAAUUGUAGUACAACUUUUCGUUAACUAAGUCUUAUUUAAUUGUUUUAUUAAAGUUUGUUACCUAUAAUUAUGUUUACGGCAACCCACCUAUGUCAUAUAAUAUGUAAAUAAUGCUUCAAGUUGAAGACGUGUGCAGUUAAAGGAUUAUCAAUAUAGAUAAAGAUGAACCCAACAAACUGCACAAAUAUUGUGCAACCUCCUCCUCUUUUUCUUCUUCAUACAUGUUUUCUUUUCAUAUGCAUACAAACCUAUGUCAUCCACACUUCUUUCAACCAUUCCAUGUUUUCUCUUCUUCUUUACAUAGAAAAUCACAUCACAAAGAGAGGAGAAAAUGGUUCUAUCCAAUUUGAUUAUAAGGUUUGUUUUUACUUUCUUUGAAUUUGAUCCAUGAUUCUCUAAAUUUUUGGGUUGUAUUGAUUAGUUCUCUUCAGUCAUUACAUUGUUUAUUGGACCUUAAACACUGAUAAUUUUCUAUUAUGAUAAGUGGUUUUGUGAAGUAUUUUCUUGAUUUAGUGUUAUAAUUUAGAUCUGGUAGACAUGCAUCACCUUUGAUGAUAUAUCCAUUUUCUUAAAAUUACAAGAGUGUGUUUUGUGUGUUUUUAUAAUUUUCGUUGGUCCUCUGUAACCUGUUAAAUCAAAAUCUCAAAAUACUUCAGAUUUAGUGCCUUAUUAAUUGCUACCUACUAAAUAUAAGGGUAUGCAUGUGAUUCUGGUCAUGUGCUUUUAAGUUCUAACUUUUAUGCCUAAUGCAAUAUAUUCUUAUGUCUGCCAAUCUUUCAUAUUAUCAUAAAGAGACUACAAUCAAUCAUAUGAUAUGGACCAAGGAAGAACUUACAAGAAUAUAAGCUUAUCUUGUCUUUAACCCAAAGAACAAAUUAAAAAUAUAAUUACGUAGUUUUAAUAUAGUAUAUACAUCUGCAUUGAAUUGCAUCUGUUUGUGCCUGCGUUUUUCUAUAUAUUAAAUCAAGUACAUGAAUGUCAUAUAUGAGUGUGUGUUUGUUCAAUUUCUAUGAUGAUAUAUACAAUUAUUGACUGGGUGUUUUUGGCUAGCUUAACUUAUAACCUGUUUUCCUAAUAAUAUACUAUAAUUGUUCUUAUAUUUGAAAGAAUUUUUCAGGAAAUGAUAUUAAGACAUAUUUUGAAAAUAUAAUGUGAAAGUAUGUAGUUUGGUUGUUCUUUUAACAAAUUUGAAAGUCUAUAUUUUUAGGGAUUAAUUGUUAUUAAAGUGUGAUUUUGUUCUAUGCCCUUAUCGUAUGAUUUGUGAAAGUAUAUGAGUUUGUUUGAAUUGAUUGUAAUUUGAUUAUUGUUUGAUGAAGUGGCGAUUUUUGGUGGAUGUAAAUGGAGAUGCUCGUGAUAGUGCAACAAUGUUAAAGUUAUGAGAUAAAGCGGCUAAGGUGAGGGAGAAGACCAUUGUGGUCUUAGAGUAUUUCAUUAAAGUUUUUCCUCUCCGAUUCCCUCAAAAGUCGGAGAGUCUUGUAGAUUAGGAACUCUCAUGGAAACUUGUUUUCAUGUAAGAGUCCUUAAUCCUCUUUCAUGACGAUGUAUAGAGUCNNNNNNNNNNNNNNNNNNNNNNNNNNNNNNNNNNNNNNNNNNNNNNNNNNNNNNNNNNNNNNNNNNNNNNNNNNNNNNNNNNNNNNNNNNNNNNNNNNNNUAUUGAAAUGGAAAAUAUAUAUAAGUGGUUGUUAUAUUGAUAUGAAAAAUACAAGAGUUUGAAAUUGAGGUCUUGCUUGUAUAUUAAAUCACUAAGUUAGUGUCUGGAGCUCGUCCGGAGGACAUGUAAUAGUAAAAAUGCACUGGGGCUGAGACAACUAACUUAGGUGGUGUUUUUGGAAAGGUUGAAUUUGAUGAGAGCCUAUGUCUGUUCACACACUUGAAAGUAUAUUGAGAAUUGAGGCUUUACCUAAUGAUCUUGAAUACUAAGUUAGUGUCUUGAGCUCAUCCAUUGGACUUGGCAUGAUAGAAAUGCAUUGGGGCUGAGACAACUAACUUAGGUGAUGUUUGUUGAAAAAAAAAUUGGAAAACCUUGAUUAAAAGAUUUAAUGGACUAACAUCGGUUAGUGUGCAUGCAUUGCAUUCGUGUAGUUGGAGUUGGAGAAAAUGGAAAGAUACGAUGAUAGAAAUAUCAUUGGGAUUUGGAUAGGGGCGGCAAUGACAGUGAUUCGUCAAGAAGCCUUGAGGGAUUGCUUAGGUGAGACAGUCCAGUGAGGGUUCGGGUUGAUUACCCGUAUGACCAGGAUAGUCUUACAUGCAAACUAAGCGGUCUCUAACACCUCCUUGCGCAUUUCACGAUCGGUAGAGAGGAAUCCUGAAACGGUCUGGGCUUACCACNNNNNNNNNNNNNNNNNNNNNNNNNNNNNNNNNNNNNNNNNNNNNNNNNNNNNNNNNNNNNNNNNNNNNNNNNNNNNNNNNNNNNNNNNNNNNNNNNNNNCAGUGAAAAUACGAAGGCAAAUGCUCUCUAAUACAGCCCUUAACAAAUAGAAUGAAUGCUAAUAAGUUCUGAGUAAAGCCUCAUAUUUAUAGCAUGGUGAAUAAGUGGUUUUAGUCGUUGGAAAAACAGUUAAACAGUUAAGCAGUUACAACAGCUGAAACAUAUUUUAGUAUAACAUAAAACAGACGCGUUAAUCGAUUAAGACUACCAUUUAAUCGAUUAACGGACUUACAAAAUAACAUCCAAAACAGUUAAAGCAGAAACCACAUAUUCAACAAAAAAAUCAAUUACGUUAAUCGAUUAGGCUUACAUGUUAAUCGAUUAACUGCAGCAUUUAUGCAUAUGUUUCACAAGGCAAACUUCUCAAAUGUUAUGUGCAAUAUGUAUACAUGUUUUACCUUUNNNNNNNNNNNNNNNNNNNNNNNNNNNNNNNNNNNNNNNNNNNNNNNNNNNNNNNNNNNNNNNNNNNNNNNNNNNNNNNNNNNNNNNNNNNNNNNNNNNNCACAUCCCAUACUACUUAGGUUAUAGACUCAAUUUAUCUCCUAGUCUAGAUAUGACCAAAUGAGCAUAGGGCAUGUUGAUUGUUGAGCAAUCUUCAAGCUUUGUUAGAACCUUGUCUUCAUUAAAACAUAGGCUAAGAUAUGCUAGUGCUGUUCUUGACACUUUGCACUUUCAUAAACAUAAUUUAUUAUAUAAUAUUAUAGUGUCGUUUAAUCCAUAUAAUCGAUGUUAUUGGUAUCAUUGUUUAUUAUAUAUUUAUUAUAUAUUUCAUAAACAUAAUUUAUUAUAUAUUUCUUUCUUCAUGUUAUCCAUGUUAUUGGUAUCAUUAUUUUGGAGCUCCACAUUGAGUAACAUAAUAAACUUAAUAUGAUACUUAAAUCAUGAAACUCUCUUAUCUAAUAGAUUAGUCUUUUGAGUAAAUUACACUGACAUUGCCUGAGUUUUACCGAAAUUACACAAACCACCCCUUACUUUUUUACACCUACCCAAACCCCGUAAUUUUUAUACUUUCAUUACACUAUUCACUUCUACACGAAAAAUAAGUGUAAUCUUUUAAACAAAAAUGUGAUGAAUAUAAUUUAGUUAAAAAAACGUGGUAUAAUGUGGAGACAAAACCAAAUAAUAUAUGAGUCAAUACAUUUAUAUUAUUUUUGGUUCGUUACGCCAUAGUAGAAGAGCGAUUUAAACACUAUCUCUUGAGAAUUGUUGAUGUAUUUUGUAAACAAAAAUAAUAAAGAUACAUUGAUUUGUAUAUUAUUUGGACUUGUCUCCAUAAAAUACGAUGUUUUGUUUAACUUAAUUGCAUUUAUCACAUUUUUUGUUUAAAAGAUUACAUUUAUAUCUCAUGUAGGUGUUAUCAGUGUAAUAAAAGUAUAAAAUUAUAGGGUUUGUGUAGGUGUAGAAAAGUGAGGGGUGAUUGAUGUAAUUUCGCUAAAACUUAGUGGGUGUCAGUGUAAUUUACUCUAGUCUUUUUGGCAGACUAUCCUCAUGUGCUUAAGUCCUAACAAUCGGUGCUUUCAUUGAGAAUUGUGUCAUGGAAAAGGACUACCUGUAGGCUGGAUUAAGGUAUAUUACCAAACAUUGAUAGGUGAGUGAAGUCACCAAAAGAGAAAAUGCUACUACCAUCAAGUAUGUAUCGAUAGAAUGAAAGCUAUCAUGGACGUCAACCCUUAAAGGGGACAACAACGUUAGGAGUCCCACAAUGUGUAGCAAAAUAAACUCAAUAUAAUACUUAAGCCAAUAUGCUCUCUCACCUAAUAGACUACUCUUUUGGGUUGGCUAUCCUUAUAUGCUUAAGUCCUAACUCAUUAUUUAAAAUAAAGUUUUUAAUGAUUUCACAUUUUAAAUAUUUUUAAAUCUUACCUUAAGCAUAUUCUAUUUUUCCCUCAUUAUUAUUUAUUCUAAUAAAAUUAAUCAAUUUUAUUUUUUAUUUAAAUUAAUACAUUAAAUCCAUCGUUUAAUGUUUUUUAUUUAAUGUUAUUAAAAUAAUGUUUUAGAUAAGUUCAUAUUUUAAUACUAACCCAAGUGUUUUUUAUAAGACUAUUUUGAGUUUAUAGUUUUGGUCAUUUGUAAUGAUCUUCCCAAUCUACCAUUCAUAUACAUUUCUAUCAUUAUUUGUCGAACAGAAAAUACGUGUAGCGAAAAUAACAAUAAUAAUUUGAUUAAUAAUGAUAAUAAUUUGAUUGUUUAGUUUUGAAGAUUUUUAUCCUUAGAUUUGAGGGAAAAGUGCGUANNNNNNNNNNNNNNNNNNNNNNNNNNNNNNNNNNNNNNNNNNNNNNNNNNNNNNNNNNNNNNNNNNNNNNNNNNNNNNNNNNNNNNNNNNNNNNNNNNNNGUUUUUGUUUUUGAGUUAUUUGUUUAUGGAUGAAAUGUGUAAUAAUGCAAAAUACAUGUACCAAUAAACAUAAUUUAUUAUAUAAUAUUAUAGUGUCGUUUAAUCCAUAUAAUCGAUGUUAUUGGUAUCAUUGUUUAUUAUAUAUUUAUUAUAUAUUUCAUAAACAUAAUUUAUUAUAUAUUUCUUUCUUCAUGUUAUCCAUGUUAUUGGUAUCAUUAUUUUGGAGCUCCACAUUGAGUAACAUAAUAAACUUAAUAUGAUACUUAAAUCAUGAAACUCUCUUAUCUAAUAGAUUAGUCUUUUGAGUAAAUUACACUGACAUUGCCUGAGUUUUACCGAAAUUACACAAACCACCCCUUACUUUUUUACACCUACCCAAACCCCGUAAUUUUUAUACUUUCAUUACACUAUUCACUUCUACACGAAAAAUAAGUGUAAUCUUUUAAACAAAAAUAUGAUGAAUAUAAUUUAGUUAAAAAAACGUGGUAUAAUGUGGAGACAAAACCAAAUAAUAUAUGAGUCAAUACAUUUAUAUUAUUUUUGGUUCGUUACGCCAUAGUAGAAGAGCGAUUUAAACACUAUCUCUUGAGAAUUGUUGAUGUAUUUUGUAAACAAAAAUAAUAAAGAUACAUUGAUUUGUAUAUUAUUUGGACUUGUCUCCAUAAAAUACGAUGUUUUGUUUAACUUAAUUGCAUUUAUCACAUUUUUUGUUUAAAAGAUUACAUUUAUAUCUCAUGUAGGUGUUAUCAGUGUAAUAAAAGUAUAAAAUUAUAGGGUUUGUGUAGGUGUAGAAAAGUGAGGGGUGAUUGAUGUAAUUUCGCUAAAACUUAGUGGGUGUCAGUGUAAUUUACUCUAGUCUUUUUGGCAGACUAUCCUCAUGUGCUUAAGUCCUAACAAUCGGUGCUUUCAUUGAGAAUUGUGUCAUGGAAAAGGACUACCUGUAGGCUGGAUUAAGGUAUAUUACCAAACAUUGAUAGGUGAGUGAAGUCACCAAAAGAGAAAAUGCUACUACCAUCAAGUAUGUAUCGAUAGAAUGAAAGCUAUCAUGGACGUCAACCCUUAAAGGGGACAACAACGUUAGGAGUCCCACAAUGUGUAGCAAAAUAAACUCAAUAUAAUACUUAAGCCAAUAUGCUCUCUCACCUAAUAGACUACUCUUUUGGGUUGGCUAUCCUUAUAUGCUUAAGUCCUAACUCAUUAUUUAAAAUAAAGUUUUUAAUGAUUUCACAUUUUAAAUAUUUUUAAAUCUUACCUUAAGCAUAUUCUAUUUUUCCCUCAUUAUUAUUUAUUCUAAUAAAAUUAAUCAAUUUUAUUUUUUAUUUAAAUUAAUACAUUAAAUCCAUCGUUUAAUGUUUUUUAUUUAAUGUUAUUNNNNNNNNNNNNNNNNNNNNNNNNNNNNNNNNNNNNNNNNNNNNNNNNNNNNNNNNNNNNNNNNNNNNNNNNNNNNNNNNNNNNNNNNNNNNNNNNNNNNUGGAACUAUAAACUUGGACUUCAUGGCUGCAAUGAUGGUGGCGAUUUAGAGUCUGAAUGCUAACUUGCAUCAAUUUAAUCAACAACAACAACAGUCACAACAACCCCAACGACUUGCACUGUACAGGGGUUUGGAUGAGUUCAGUCGUCGCAACCCAGCUAAGUUUGAAAGUGGAUUUGCACCAGAUGGUGCUACGAACUCGAUCCAAGAGUUGGAGAGGAUUUUCAAGGUACUAAUGUGCACCAAGGAGCAGAAGGUCACGUAUGUGACCUACAUGCGGGCUAAAGAGGUUGAGAACUAGUGGGAGUUCAUUCAACGCCAGAUGGAGCACGAAUAACAAGUUGUCAACUGGACAACUGAAUUAUAAUGUUUGAAUGAUUAUUAUGGGAAUGAUUUGUAUCUGAUAAUUGUUAAAUUCAAGGUUUAAAAACAUGUAAUAUAAAUGAAAAAUAUUUUCCUUGAGAAAAGUAAUUAAAAUGAUAUUCAGGCUCUUCUCGCUGGAGCGAGACAGCUCUCGCUUGAGAGAGAAGUGUCUAUAGAAAACGAGUGUUUUAGCUCGGGGCGAGACAUCUCUCUUGAGCUAAAAUAGGCACCAAGAAAACUAAUUCUUUUCUUGCUUAAGCCACAAAUGCCUCAAAAAUGGAUGUGCCCUCGCUUGAGCGAGAGGGCUCCAUACAUACAUGACUUCUUUUUAAGUCGUCUGAACGAUAACUCUCAUAUAUACGAGAGCCUAAUGGCAUGUUUGCUAUCAAGAAGUUGUAAAGGUAAAUAACUAUAUAUGAAAUUAUUGAAAGUAAUAAAAGUAAGGAAUUGCGUUGUUAAAGGCGAGGCCCGAGGGUGUGUUAUUAUGCCUACGCAGCGAGAUCUUUUGACCGUAAGAGGCUUGGCUAUAGGAGUCGUCCAGGAUAAUUCAACAAUGAUUCGCAGUGGUGCUGAGAAGUAUUAUGUUGUGCCAAUGCAUCAAGAUCGUCUGACUGUAAGAGGCUUGGCUUUAGAGCCGUCCAGGAUAAUUCAACAAUGGUUCGUAGUGGUGCCAAAAUUAUUCUCUUUUUGUUUAUAUGUUAAGAUCGGGACCCACUAGAAGCAUUCCCGAUGAGAGAUGUCUUAGGAUGGGAAAAUCCCUAGAAAAGAUGAAUUAAAAGAUAUAAUUUGCUAAUUUCGGUUAGGGUGCAUAUCCAUGGUAAAAAAUGAAGUAGUGGAGAGGAAAUGUACGGGAGACGAAUGCGCCCCGAGAUGUUGAGAGGGACGGUGUUGAUGGUGGUGAUUCGUCAGCAACGUCUUGAGGGAGAAUCUAGGUGAGACGAGUCCAAUGUAUUCCUGGAUGAGGUAUUCUGUUGGAUCGGACAGUUCUCACAACUCAAACUAGACGAUCUCUAACAACCCCUCUUUGCAAUCAUGAUCGAUGAGAGGGAUGCCCAGAAAGUGUUUGAUACGACACCAUCCUGAAAUAGACAGUUCCGUUGGAACAAAUUAGUCAUAUAUCCUUGCGAGGAGUAAUUUUGGUGCUACCAAAUCGGCUUGUUAUGGGAACUGUACUCUCGGUUAUUUCCGAAUAGUUAUUGGGAGGAUAAAGGAGUAAGGAUGGUGGACUCAUGCAUCACAUUGCAUACAUUAUAUUCUUCGAUAUUGAUUCUAAAUGCUCGAGUUUUAUACUUCAUUCUUCAUUCUUAUAUGCUUGUAUGAUCACAUGAUAUAUUUGUACUCGUGUGUUGUCUUGGUGUAUUAUUCUGUGUAAUUCCACGACGUCGAUGACAAGUUUUUCAUAGAUGUUUUACUCCCUNNNNNNNNNNNNNNNNNNNNNNNNNNNNNNNNNNNNNNNNNNNNNNNNNNNNNNNNNNNNNNNNNNNNNNNNNNNNNNNNNNNNNNNNNNNNNNNNNNNNGGAAUAAGGUAAAAGUGAAAAUUAUUUGUAAGUUAUAGGUUACAUAAAAGAAAAGAAAACGGGAAAGAAAUAAAAAUUUACCUAUUUUUCUAAGAGAUUAAAUAUAUUAAAUAUGAAAUGAUUUUCGGGAUGUUACAUAAAGUGGUAUCAGAGCGGUUCAAUCCUAUCCGGGAUGACCUUGCAAUCUUACAUGCUUUCUUGUGUGACGUUUUUGAUUGUUUGAUUGUUUAUGGUCUUCAUUUGAAGAUGUAAAUGUUAUGAACUUACGAUUAGAGGAUUAACUCAUUUAAAUCUGAUGCAUUCAGAUUUCAAAUGGCUGGACGUGGAACUAUAAACUUGGACUUCAUGGCUGCAAUGAUGGUGGCGAUUUAGAGUCUGAAUGCUAACUUGCAUCAAUUUAAUCAACAACAACAACAGUCACAACAACCCCAACGACUUGCACUGUACAGGGGUUUGGAUGAGUUCAGUCGUCGCAACCCAGCUAAGUUUGAAAGUGGAUUUGCACCAGAUGGUGCUACGAACUCGAUCCAAGAGUUGGAGAGGAUUUUCAAGGUACUAAUGUGCACCAAGAAGCAGAAGGUCACGUAUGUGACCUACAUGCUGGCUAAAGAGGUUGAGAACUGGUGGGAGUUCAUUCAACGCCAGAUGGAGCACGAACAACAAGUUGUCAACUGGACAACUGAAUUAUAAUGUUUGAAUGAUUAUUAUGGGNNNNNNNNNNNNNNNNNNNNNNNNNNNNNNNNNNNNNNNNNNNNNNNNNNNNNNNNNNNNNNNNNNNNNNNNNNNNNNNNNNNNNNNNNNNNNNNNNNNNGUAAUAAUGCAAAAUACAUGUCCUUAGGGUAAUGAGUCCUAUCUUAUGUUGAUUUAGUCAUUAUUACGACAUAUGAAGUGUCACAAUGAGUUGCCACAUGUCAUAUAGUUCAGCAUAUGCCAGUGUAAAGAUGAGUUACUUUUAGAAUGGUGGAUCCUAUCAAGAGUACUUUAUCUUGCGUGAAGAUAAUAUGUGCCUUUGGUGUAGGGAUAUCAAUGUGCAAUGAUAUCCUAUACUAUUAGGGCUUAGGAUGAUGUUUGGGUCACUUUAUUUAAGGAAUAUUAGUCUCGCNNNNNNNNNNNNNNNNNNNNNNNNNNNNNNNNNNNNNNNNNNNNNNNNNNNNNNNNNNNNNNNNNNNNNNNNNNNNNNNNNNNNNNNNNNNNNNNNNNNNUAUUUUAAAAUGCAACUCAACCAAAUUGAUAUUAAAUUAAUUUGAUCUUGUUUGCUUAUUUUUAGAUUUCAAACUUAAUUUAUUCAUUGAUCAAAUUUUGAUGAAAUCAAUUCUCAAAAGAUUUAAAUAUUUUUAUCGUAGUGAUUUAUGUAACUAAAUCAAAUUGAUAUCAAAUUUAUUUGAUUUAAUAUAAUUUGCUUAUUUUAUAUUGCAAUUCUUAAUUUAUUUUUUGAUCAAAUUUUGAUGUAAGAAAAUCUCUAAUGAUUCAAACAUUUUAAUUAGUUAUUUUCGAUAUACUUUUCAGGUUUAUAUUUUUGUUAAUUUUUAUUCUAUAAAAUGAACUCAGUAAAAUUAGGUGUUCAUAGACUUCAGGUAGUAAAUAUAUGAAUAUUGUGUUAGAUGAGUGAACACAAUAGACAAUAUAAGAUUAGAAAUGAAAAUAUCAUUCGAGAAAAUUUGAGUAGCUCAUAUUAUAGAAAAGAUGAUAGUAUCGUGUCUUAGGUGAUUUAGGCAUUUGUGAAGAAAACUAGUAGAAACCCUUGUAGCUAUAGUAGAUCAAGUUCUUAGAAAUUGAGGAUACCAAAAAAUUAUAGGGAAAAUGAUAAAUAAAGACUUAAAAUUAAUGAUGUAUCAAUAAACAUAAUUUAUUAUAUAAUAUUAUAGUGUCGUUUGAUCCAUGUAAUCGAUCUGUGAGAUAAAAACUUAGUUGUUUUUUUNUUUUCUAUAUACAAUCAUAUAGUCUAAAACACAAAAAGGUGACUUAAUAAGAUAAGAUGUAAUAUAAACUUCAUUCCCAAAAGAGUAUAAAUUGAGAACCAUUCUCUACCAUUUCUUGUAUCUCUCAUAGCCUAUCUUUCUCUAAGCAUCCAUUUUCAUUGAGCCAUGUCUAACUCAAAAAUGUGAUGAAUAUAAUUUAGUUAAACAAAACAUGGUAUAUUGGGGAGACAAAACCAAAUAAUAUAUGAUGUUUUGUUUAACUUAAUUGCAUUUAUCACAUUUAUUGUUUAAAAGAUUACAUUUAUAUCUCAUGCAGGAGUUAUCAGUGUAAUGAACGUAAAAAUUUAUAGAGUUUGUGUUGGUGUAGAAAAGUGAGGAGUGAUUUAUGUAAUUUCGCUAGUGUUUUUGGUGUUAGUGUAAUUUACUCUAGUCUUUUUAGUGGGUGUUUGUGUAAUUUACUCUAGUCUUUUUGGUUGACUCUCCUCAUGUGCUUAAGUCCUAACAAUCGGUGCUUUCAUAGAAAAUUGUGUCAUGGAAAAGGACUACAUGUAGGAUUGAUUAAGGUAUAUUACCGAACAUUGAUAGGUAAGUGAAGCCACCAAAAGAGAAAAUGCUACUACCAUCAAGUCAGUAUCGAUAGAGUGAAAGAUGUCAUGGAUGUCAGCCCUUAAAGGGGACGGCAACGUUAAGAGUCCCACAAUGGGUAGCAUAAUAAACUCAAUAUGAUACUUAAGCCAAGAUGCUCUCUCACGUAAUAGGCUAGUAUUUUGGGUUGGCUAUCCUUAUAUGCUUAAGUCCUAACUCAUUAUUUAAAAUAAAGUUUUUAAUGAUUUCACAUUUUAAAUAUUUUUUAAUCUUACCUUAAGCAGAUUCUACUUUUAACUCAUUAUUAUUUAUUCUAAUAACAUUAAUCAAUUUUAUUUUUUAUUUAAAUUAAUACAUUAAAUCCAUCGUUUAAUAUUUUUUAUUUAAUUUUAUCGAAAUAAUGUUUUAGAUAAGUUCAUAUUUUAAUACUAACACAAGUGUUUUUUGUAAGACUAUUUUGAGUUUAUAUUUUUGGUGCUUUGUAAUAAUCUUCCCAAUCUACCAUUCCUAUCAUUAUUUGUCGUACAGAAAAUACAUGUAGCGAAAAUAACAAUAAUAAUUUGAUUAAUAAUAAUAAUAAUAAUAAUAAUAAUAAUAAUAAUUUGAUUGUUUAGUUUUGAAGAUUUUUAUGCUCAGAUUUGAGGGAAGAGUGAGUAAAAUUUUCUUGAACUUUUUGCCUUUGUGAGUUCUCGACUUAAACUAUUUUUUAUUCUUAAUUACCCAUUAAAUUUUACAUGUUCGUGAAAUUGGUUUCUAUAAAUAUUUUAUUAAAUUAGUCAAAGACAAUAGGGAAAUCGUUGCAAUGAGAAUUAUAAGAGUAACAGUGCAACAAUGUAAAUUAGUCAAUGUUGAUAUUCGACGAAAAUCGUCAUCAAAAUACAAAAAAUCAUAAAAUUUAAUAUAUUUUUAUAGACUUUUCCCUAUAUUUUAAGAGAAUUCCUUUAUAUCUAUUAUUUUAACAGUAGAUUAAAAUGAGAUUUUAUUAGAAGAGUUAAUGGGUAUGCAGAAGAAGUGGUGAUCUAUUCUACACAUGUCUAAAGAAAAGUUAAAACAAUAAAAUUAUAUACAUUAUUUAAUAUAUAUUAUGUAUAAGAAUAAUUAAAAGUUGUAUAUCUUGCUUUUAGAAUAUUCUAAAGAUUUAAGUAGAUUAAAUUUAUCAUUUCGUCCAAACAAAAACAUUAUUUCUAAUUUGUCAUAUAUUCUAAAUAAUUAUAAACUAUAUCGAAAUCAUAGUUUCUUCUUUUAUUUUUCACACUGGCUUCUCCUUAAUAUCUAUUGAUUUUACUUUAGCAACUAGUAUCCCAUGUAUUGUGUAUGCAUUCUUGAAUUUACCGUGCUUUAUAAAAUUUAUAAUAGAUUUAUUGAUCUUAAUAAAUUUAAGUUUUAACUAUAAAACAUAAUUCCACUUAUUACUAUAAAAUAGUUACGUUGUUGUAUGAGACCACAUUUUUUUUCAGAUUUAGCACUUUUGUUUUAUAAAAUCAAUGGCUAAUUACUUGAAUUCUUUUGUCAACAAAUUUGCAAAGAACAUUGAGUCUCUUUUUUUUUAUUUGCACUUAAUAUUUGACAUACAAGCUAUUUAUCAUACACUUUAUCAUACAUUAUAAAUUAACGAGGGCUAGAACACAUUUAUUUAAAAUUUUAAUUAUUUCUUAUUACAUAUUAAAAAAUUAAUUUUAAUUAUUUCUUACACUGUAUCCUUUGAAAUAUUCACUGUUCUAAUAAAAAAACUUAAAAUGGGUCAAACUAUCAUCAUUUAUUUUGGAGACAUGUAUAUAAUAUAAAGAUUUAAUAUUUAUAUUCUGUUUUUUAUACUGUCAGUAAAUCAUCCAUUAUUCAUAUGUUACUCAUCAUUGACUCUCAAACAAAAGUAAUACAAAUCAAUGGUGGAUGGUGUGCUGACAACAUAAAAAAAUUUAGACUAACGGUGUACACAUUUUAAACUCAUAAUAUAAUAUAAUAUUUGAUAUCACUAAGGGUCUCUCCUCACUUUUUGGGUAAUGAACUAAUCAUAGAUGCCCCUCCCAACAAAUUUUGUUCCUAGUAAUCGAACAAUUAAUCUUGGGGAUCCAAUUGGAUCAUACACCAUUAGACUAACGCCUAUUAGUUAUUAUAAGAUAUUAUAAGAUCGUACAGAUAUAGAUAGAAAGUAGCAAAAAAAUUUAAUGAAUGGAAAAACAAUUAUGUAGAAUAAGUAGAAGAUAAAAAUAAGGGCCUAAAUAUUCCUUAAGAGCUUACGCGUGAAAAUUACGAAUUCAACUCGUAAUCAGAAUUAGUUCACUUCUCCUUUGAUGAUCAUGUCUCUUUUUGGUGCAACACUAAUUUUGAUUAACAAAAGUUAAUUGUUACCAAAUUAUUUUGUCGUUUUUUUAAUCAUUAUCAUCAAUUGUUGUAUCUAUUCACAAAAGGAAUUCAUAUAAUGUAGCAAUGUUUUCUUUGAUUUAUCAUUAAUACACAAAGAUAUUACCAAUUUCGAAUUGUUUUUUAUAUGUAUGAUGAACACAUGAAUUUCAUGCUCAAGUGCUAGCAUAAAAUAUUAUAUUCUUUGUAUAAAUAUUACAUAUAUACCAAUAAUAUGAGUAUAAAUUUACAUUCAUUUAACCUUAUAAAACUAUUCUGUCAUUCAAACAAAGAUAAGAAUGAAAUAAUUAAUGAACAUUUAACCUUAUAAAACUAUUCUGUCAUUCAAACAAAGAUAAGAAUGAAUUAAUUAAUGAUUUUUUUCUAUAUACAAUCAUAUAGUCUAAAACACAAAAAGGUGACUUAAUAAGAUAAGAUGUAAUAUAAACUUCAUUCCCAAAAGAGUAUAAAUUGAGAACCAUUCUCUACCAUUUCUUGUAUCUCUCAUAGCCUAUCUUUCUCUAAGCAUCCAUUUUCAUUGAGCCAUGUCUAACUCAAAAAUGUGAUGAAUAUAAUUUAGGUAAACAAAACAUGGUAUAUUGGGGAGACAAACCAAAUAAUAUAUGAUGUUUUGUUUAACUUAAUUGCAUUUAUCACAUUUAUUGUUUAAAAGAUUACAUUUAUAUCUCAUGCAGGAGUUAUCAGUGUAAUGAACGUAAAAAUUUAUAGAGUUUGUGUUGGUGUAGAAAAGUGAGGAGUGAUUUAUGUAAUUUCGCUAGUGUUUUUGGUGUUAGUGUAAUUUACUCUAGUCUUUUUAGUGGGUGUUAGUGUAAUUUACUCUAGUCUUUUUGGUUGAUUCUCCUUAUGUGCUUAAGUCCUAACAAUCGGUGCUUUCAUAGAAAAUUGUGUCAUGGAAAAGGACUACAUGUAGGAUUGAUUAAGGUAUAUUACCGAACAUUGAUAGGUAAGUGAAGCCACCAAAAGAGAAAAUGCUACUACCAUCAAGUCAGUAUCGAUAGAGUGAAAGAUGUCAUGGAUGUCAGCCCUUAAAGGGGACGGCAACGUUAAGAGUCCCACAAUGGGUAGCAUAAUAAACUCAAUAUGAUACUUAAGCCAAGAUGCUCUCUCACGUAAUAGGCUAGUAUUUUGGGUUGGCUAUCCUUAUAUGCUUAAGUCCUAACUCAUUAUUUAAAAUAAAGUUUUUAAUGAUUUCACAUUUUAAAUAUUUUUUAAUCUUACCUUAAGCAUAUUCUACUUUUAACUCAUUAUUAUUUAUUCUAAUANNNNNNNNNNNNNNNNNNNNNNNNNNNNNNNNNNNNNNNNNNNNNNNNNNNNNNNNNNNNNNNNNNNNNNNNNNNNNNNNNNNNNNNNNNNNNNNNNNNNUAACCCAAAGAAGAACAAGGGUCGUAGAAGGAUUGAGAUGAAAAUGAUAGCCAAAGACAGCAACCUACAAGUCACAUUCUCCAAACGCCGCACUGGGUUAUUUAAGAAAGCGAGCGAGUUUUGCACUCUUUGUGAUGCAAAAGUUGGGCUAGUUGUCUUUUCUCCUGCAAACAAGGCUUUCUCUUUUGGCGACCCUAUAUUGAUGCUAUUGUAGACCGCUAUCAAAUGAGGGACCAACCACUGNNNNNNNNNNNNNNNNNNNNNNNNNNNNNNNNNNNNNNNNNNNNNNNNNNNNNNNNNNNNNNNNNNNNNNNNNNNNNNNNNNNNNNNNNNNNNNNNNNNNAAUCCAAAAUGAAAUGAAAUAGCAAUGCUAAGCAAAGACAAAAUUCUCAAAAGGAAACAAGAUCAACAAUUUCCAUUAGCUAGGAAAGGAUAAUCUAAGGUUCUAAGGCUUCCUAUCUAAGGAUAAGAUGGAGGAUUCUGGUUGUCAGGAGUCAACGAGCUACAACCACGCUCUAUUAAGACACUCAACCUGUUGAGCUCAUCACACAUUCUUCUGGUCUGAGAAUCAGAAGUAGUCUGAAUGAAGUUCUGCAAGGAUUGAUAAUGGUUGUCAAUGUACUCAUUAUGACGAUCCUCAAAAUGUUCCAAAUCCGUAUGAUACGAAUCCUUAAGCGACUGAAAAUGAAGAUCUAUCCGAUUAUUCAAACGUUGUUCCAUAGCAUCCAUAUAAGCUUGUCGAAACACGAAUUCCUGUGAUGCGUGUCCUGAAUGCUCCCCUUGAGUUGUAGCAAAAGGCUCUUGAUUAAUGUCUUGAUCAUUUUCAUCGGAAGGGUCAAGGUUCACAUUAUUGUAGUCUUCUUGAUAUUGCCAAGUGUUGCCAUACUUGUAGAUGCCCAUUUUGUGAAUUAAACUCUCACUAAUCAAGUGAUCUUUGUCUGAGCAGUCCAUCACAAUCGUAUACGAGAUGUCAAUAUGUAGAUAAUCAAUCACUCGGGACACAAAGAUACUAUAAGGAAGCAGUUUUGAUUGAGAGGUAGAGACGCUAUACAUGACCUUCAGAAUUUCUGCUGGCCAAUUUAUCAUUAUGGUCUCUUUCACAGCAAACAUAAACCUCAAAUCAUUCAAGGUAGGUUGUGCAUGAUUUGUGUUUCUCUGAAUUAAAAUGUAGGCAAUCAAGUAGUGCAGGAGCCUAUUUUCUACCGACAGAGAUCCAGCUUUAGUCAGUUCGCGUUGUACAAAGAGUUGUGGUCUACGCAGGCAUGACUUAUACAUUUCAACAGCAUCGAAGGAGUGGUUGUUUGCCCAACCACAAUUACUCAAACUAGCACCAGAUGCAGCUAAUCCACCCACAUUCAUAAAGACUUCUUUAGUAAUUUCGAACAACUUUCCAGCUAUCAUCGACCAAUAUUUCCCAUUUUUAUAUCUAAAAUUCGAGUAAAAAUCUCUAACUAGAGCAGGGUAAAUGUUACCUUUCAGUUCCAUGAAGGGGACAACCCCUUGAGAUUGAAAACGAAUCGGGAACUCGAAGUUUUGUUCCACAAGCCAAUCCACAUUAUCAAACCGAAUGUAUGUAGGUUUUCUUCCCUGAAACUUCUGCAUUUUAAUCACCAUGUUUGACACAUUCAAAGAGAUCAUGCAAGACAAUCAGAAAAGAAGAAUUAAUCAAGAUAUUUUUCAUCAAGGAUUCCUAGUUCUCUUCGAAGAACAUAGAAAGUAUCUCGUGAGAAGGGCUUGGUGAAAAUAUCUGCUAGUUGUUUAGAAGUUUCAACAAACUCUAAUAUGCAAUCACCUUUUUGAACAUGAUCACACAAGAAAUAGUGUCUUAUCUCAAUAUGCUUUGUUCUAGAAUGCAAAACGGGAUUCUUGGAAAGGUUAAUGGCACUCGUGUUAUCACACUUAAUUGGGAUCUUUUCUAAUAUGAGCCCAAAGUCCUUAAGUUGCUGCUUCAUCCAAAGGAUUUGAGCGCAACACACGCCAGCGGCAAUGUAUUCCACUUCAGCGGUGGACAAAGCAACACACACUUGCUUUUUGUUGUACCAUGCAACCAGGGAUCUGCCUAAUAGGUGACAAGUCCCACUAGUGCUUUUAUGAUCCAACUUACACCCAGCGAAGUCGGAAUCGGAGUAACCUACCAAGGAUAAGGAGGCAUCCCUAGGAUACCAUAAUCCCAUAUUUAUUGAUCCUUUUAGAUAUCUGAUGUUAUGUUUUACAACACUAAAAUGUGAUUCUUUUGGCAAAGCUUGAAACCUAGCACACAUACAAAUGCUAAACAUGAUAUCGGGGCGGCUAGAAGUUAAGUAUAAUAAGGAGCCGAUUAUCCCACGAUAUUUGGUUACCUCAAUAGCUUUUCCUGCUUCAUCUUUGUCCAGAUAACAUGCAGAUGCCAUAGNNNNNNNNNNNNNNNNNNNNNNNNNNNNNNNNNNNNNNNNNNNNNNNNNNNNNNNNNNNNNNNNNNNNNNNNNNNNNNNNNNNNNNNNNNNNNNNNNNNNUUUCCAUUUGUUUAAUUUGAAGCCCAAGGAAGAAAGUCAGCUCACCCAUCAUCGACAUAUCAAACUCCCCCUACAUCAACUCGGAAAAUUCCUUACAAAGGAUGUCAUUAGUAGAUCCGGAGAUAAUAUCAUCAACAUAUAUUUGUACAAGUAAAACAUGAUUAUUUGAUCUACUAAUGAAGAGAGUGGUGUCGACCAAACCUCUUUCAAACCCUUUUUCAAGUAGGAACGAACUCAAUCUUUCGUACCAGGCUCUGGGAGCCUGUUUUAGGCUAAGAGGGCCUUCUUGAGUUUAUAUACGUGGUUCGGGUCUUUGAAGGUUUCAAACCCCGGUGGUUGGUCAACAUACACCUCCUCUUGAAUAUAUCCAUUUAAAAAUGCACUUUUAACAUCCAUUUGAAAUAGUUUAAAGUUCAUGAUUGAUCCAAAAGACAAUAGCAUCCUAAUGGCCUCAAGUCUGGCUACAGGAGCGUAGGUCUCAUCAUAAUCGAUGCCCUCCUCCUGGUUGUAGCCCUUGGNNNNNNNNNNNNNNNNNNNNNNNNNNNNNNNNNNNNNNNNNNNNNNNNNNNNNNNNNNNNNNNNNNNNNNNNNNNNNNNNNNNNNNNNNNNNNNNNNNNNAUAGCUCCCACCAAAACUCAUUAUUUGUGAUGGUCCAAAUAAGUCCAUAUGGAGAAGCUCCAAUGGUCUAGUAGUGGAUAUCACAUUCUUUUUCUUAAAUGAAUUCCUGACUUGUUUACAUUUUUGACACAUGUCACAGGAAUCUUGUGUUUCAAAAUCGAGUUUUGGAAGACCAAUUACUAAAUUAUUUUUCGAUAGUUUUUCUAAAUGCUUUACAUGUAUAUGAGUGACGCGUCUAUGCCAAAGCCAGAUGUCAUCUUCUUUUGAAAUAAAACAUUUUGAAAAUAAAGAAGUGACAUCUUCCAGAUUAACCAUAUAAAUAUUAUUUACUCGAUACCAGACAAAUUUAACAUUAUUAGAUAAUACAUCACGGAUGAUACAACAGUUAGAAUCAAAAGACCCGAUAUUACCUUUGUCGCAUAGUUGGCUUAUACUCAACAAAUCAUGUUCCCAACCUUCUACGUAUAGAACGUUGUCAAUUAUUGUGUGGGUUGAGUUGCCAAUCUUUCCAGUGCCCAAGAUUCUUCCUUUGUUGUUGUCUCCAGAAGUGACAAAUCCCUUUUCCUUUAACGACAAGUCUAGGAAUUUGGACUUGUUCUCAGUCAUAUGUCUCGAACAGCCGCUAUCAAGAUACCAGUUUUGUCCGUGUGUUUGAAGACAUACCUAACAAAUAGAUCAUCUGCUAGACUCAGGUACCCAAGUUAUGUUGGGUCCUUUUGUGUUAGUAAUGAGGGAGCUUUGUCCCUUUCUUACCCAAGUGUAAACGCCACUAGGUAUCCCAUAUCUCCUGAUGUAACAUGAAUGAGAUGUAUGGGCAUAUGUGCCACAUUAAGGACAAGUAGGGACUCUAUUUUUAAUUUUAUUUUUGUAUUGAUGUGUUAGAGGUCUUCUAUAAGGUCUCUUUUUAUGGGAUGGGGGAACAUAACCUAACCCAGUAUGAUUACCAACAUUACUAGUUUUGCUAAGCAGAGUAUCUAAUUGUUGUGUACUAUUUGUAAGUUUUGCGAGUUUUUCAUUUAAUUUAAAAUUUUCGUUUUUCAAUUCCUCGCAAGACUCACAAGUAGUAUUUUGACAUAAGUUAAUUUUCGAGCAGUCACAUGAAGUACAAGAAAAAAUUAGAUCUAAGGUUUCAUUUUCCAAUUUUAAUUCGUCUAAUUCUUUCUGCAAUUGGUUUAUCUUUUGUUGGUUUAGCAAAAUAAUUCGUUUUCUCUCGUUGCUUACUUUUGCUAAUUUUUUAAGUUCUUCAUGCAUCUCAAUAUAAGCACUAUAUAAUAUUUCAUAUGAGGGAGAAUUAGUAGAGGAUGAUGUAUCAGAAUAUACCUCAUCUGAAGUAUCCUUGUUGUCAUUAAGCGUAACUUUGCGGUCUCCUCUUCAUCUGAGGUGCUUGAUGUUGUUUCUUCCUCGGGUACGUCCCAUACAAUGUAUGCUUUCUUUGGCUUGAGUUCUCGGGGAGUGCUCUAUUCUGAAUCAAUCCUUUUUAAGUAAGUGGGGCACUGAUACUUCAUNNNNNNNNNNNNNNNNNNNNNNNNNNNNNNNNNNNNNNNNNNNNNNNNNNNNNNNNNNNNNNNNNNNNNNNNNNNNNNNNNNNNNNNNNNNNNNNNNNNNUAGCAGAACAAGCAAAUUGCACGACAAUUAAGAUACACUUUAAACAGAUACAUUUUAGAUAUUUUUGCAUAAAAGUGUUAACUAUAUAGCACUAAACAAAUAUCCAAAUUCUCAAGAAUAUAUUCAGUGUAUCAAUGUAAGAAACAAAAGAAAGAUAAAGAAAGAAAGAACAGUGCAAAAAGAACGGUUCACUGCAAACUGCAUCUAGGCCUCCCCUUCUGGAUCAAGGAUAUUUUCUUUCUUCACAAUAUUGAAUUAUAUAACGUCUGCAAUUUUCUAUUCUUUUAAUAUGUGAAUUAAAAAUAUUGAUUUACUUUUGUAUAUUUAUCUAAAGAUAAUUAUGAUUUUUUAGAAUAGUUGUAAAUCUUUUAGUGUUUAUUUAAUGGGGUUAUGAUUUUUGUGCUAUUCGAAAAAGAAGUUAUUUUAUUGGUUACCUAACGUUCAAGUGAAUAUAUAUAUCAUCUCGUAAUGAGUUUUUGUAAAAAUAAUGUUUUUUAAAAAGGUAAUUUGUGUUAGAAGUAUUAUUUUAUCGUUAUGUUGAAUUAUUCAUAAUCUUAGAAGUACUAUACUUCAAGUAUUUCUUUUUUUAUAAUAAUUUACUACGUAAUAUCUCCUAUAUUAUUUAUUGUAACAUUAUCUUUCUUGUGAUUCUUGAGUAAAUUGGUUAUGAUUAUCAUAAUGUUUAUCAUUUCAUAUCAUCAUCUUUAUCAUUUAAUCAUUUUAUCCCAAAUUACAAAUGUUUAUUUCUAUUAUAUGUUUAUUAGUAAUACCAAAUUAAGAUAUCUAUACCAUUAUAUAAAGGCAAAACAAUUGUUAACUGCCAGUGAUGGAGUAAUUUUAACAUUCCAAUUUUAGCUUUGCUCUAUUAUUAAAGUAACUUCCAUAUUCUACCCAAAUUUUAAACUGCAAAACAAAAGUGAUAUGCUAAGAUAAUAAAAUACAUAGUAUAACCACCACACUAUGGUGUAAUUUCUAAAUCUCUAUUUUACCCCUCACUAUUUUUUAAUUUCUACCAAAAGUUUCUUCUAUUGUUUCUACCAUAGAAGAAAUAUCCAACUUCAUUAAAAAUGGAAAAUAAUAGGAAACUCCAAAAACCCAUAAGAUAAACAAAUCACAUAUCCUCACAGCAUCACCUCAUUGAUCAUCAAUCAAUAUACCAUCUCAGCAGCAUCAAGAGAAACCAGAAUCAUGGAUCACUCUGAUAAUACAAAAAAUAAUAAACAAACAUCCAUAAGCACAUAUUUAGAGUAUGUCAACUGCAAUGCAGAUUUUAAACAAUAAAAACCAACUGGGUAAACCGAUCAUGCAAAAUCAUCGUCAUCAUGGGUAAAAACUUAGCAAAGAUAAUGCCACAUUUUAUGCCAUUUAAAAAACUGAACACCAAUACCACCAACUUACCAAACUGCCAUUAUUUACACCAAUUAAUAAAAAAGGUUUUCAACAGUUACAAAACUGCCAUUUUCCAUAUCAUGGCAAUAUUCAAGGGCAUUUUUCAUUAUGACGUGGCAACACCUGCUUAUUACUAUACAUACACCUUCCACUAUAGUCAUUGAAUACAUAAUUUGAAUAAAAAAAAACCUGAUUGAAUACAUAAUUCCCCUUAAGCAAGAACAUACUGCUAUUUAGUACUACUCAUCUUGGCUUGGAAUUUGUUUCAUUAGAACUAAUAAUUUAUUCCUCAUUUCAGGUAUUUCUCAUCCUUUCUCUAUUUCUUUUUUCAUUUUUCUCUCUACUAUAACAAAUUUAAGAUCUCUUAAUAACCAAUAACUCACCAAAACUACUACUUUUAUUAUGUUGUUUAUUGAAGAACAUGCUACUACUACUACUCNNNNNNNNNNNNNNNNNNNNNNNNNNNNNNNNNNNNNNNNNNNNNNNNNNNNNNNNNNNNNNNNNNNNNNNNNNNNNNNNNNNNNNNNNNNNNNNNNNNNUUGGCCAAAGAUGAAACAAGAUGUACAAAACCAUUGUAAAAAAUGUGUGACAUGCAAGAAAUCUAAAUCAAAGAUAAUGCCUUAUGGUCUUUACUCUCCUUUGAAUGUUCCCGAAUCACCAUGGGUAGAUAUAUCUAUGGAUUUUGUCUUAGAACUACCUACAAUCAAAACGGGUAAGGAUUCUAUCUUCGUAGUGGUAGAUAGAUUUUCCAAAAUGGCACACUUUAAUCCUUGCAAAAAGGUAGAUGAUGCUAAUCACAUUGCUGAUUUGUUUUUCAGGGAAAUUGUUAGGCUUCAUGGCCUGCCCAGGACUCUAGUGAGUGAUAGGGAUAUGAAAUUCCUUAGUCUCUUUUGGAGGACACUAUGGGGAAAGCUUGGGACAAAGCUUCUAUUCUCAACAACUUGCCACCCCCAAACCGAUGGACAACCCGAGGUGGUAAAUAGAAAUCAAUGAUGGAUGGUGUGCUGACAACAUACAAAACUUUAUACUAACGGUGUACAGAUUUUAAACUCAUAAUACAAUAUAAUAUUUUAUAUUACAAAGGGUCUCCUCACUUUUUGGGUAAUGAACUAAUCAUAGAUGCCCCUCUCAACAAAUAUUGUUCCCAGUAAUCAAACCAUUAACCUUGGGGAUCCAAUUGGAUCAUACACCAUUAGACUUAUGCCUAUUACUUAUUAUAAUAUAAUAUAAGAUAUUAUAAGAUCGUACAAAUGUAGAUAGAAAGUAGCGAAAAAAUUUAUUGAAUGGAAAAACAAUUAUGUAGAAUAAGUAGAAGAUAAAAAUAAGGGCCUAAAUAUUCCUUAAGAGCUUACGCACGAAAAUUACGAAUUCAACUCGUAAUCAGAAUAAGGUCACUUCUCCUUCGAUGAUCAUGUCUCGUUUUGGAGCAUCACUAAUUUUGAUUAACAAAAGGUAAUUGUUACCAAAUUAUUUUGUUGUUUGUUUAAUCAUUAUCAUCAAUUGUUGUGUCUAUUCACAAAAGGAAUUCAUAUAAUGUAGCAAUGCUUUCUUUGAUUUAUCAUUAAUACACAAAAAUCUUUCCAAUUUCGAAUUGUUUUAUUUAUGUAUGAUGAACACAUGAAUUUCAUGCUGAAGUGCAAACAUAAAAUAUUAUAUUCGUUGUAUAAAUAUUACAUAUAUACCAAUAAUAUGAGUAUAUAUUUACAUUCAUUUAACCUUAUAAAACUAUUCUGUCAUUCAAACAAAGAUAAGAAUGAAAUUAUUAAUGUAUUUUUUCUAUAUACGUGCAUUUAGUCUAAAACACAAAAAGGUGACUUAAUAAGAUAAGAUAUAAUAUAAACUUCAUUCCCAAAAGAGUAUAAAUUGAGAACCAUUCUCUACCAUUUCUUGUAUCUCUCAUAGCCUAUCUUUCCCUAAGCGUCCAUUUUCUUUGAGCCAUGUCUAACUCAAUCCCUAGCUCUAGUAAUCCAAUCCCUAGGUCUAGUAACCCCAAAAAGAACAAGGGUCGUAGAAGGAUUGAGAUGAAAAUGAUAGCCAAAGACAACAACGAACAAGUCACAUUCUCCAAACGCCGCACUGGGCUAUUCAAGAAAGAAGCGAGCGAACUUUGCACUCUUUGUGAUGCAAAAGUUGCGUUAAUAACAUGAAUAAUUUUUGUUUAUUUAAAUUAAUACAUUAAAUCUAUCGUUUAAUGUUUUUUAUUUAAUGUUAUUAAAAUAAUGUUUUAGAUAAGUUCAUAUUUUAAUACUAACCCAAGUGUUUUUUAUAAGACUAUUUUGAGUUUAUAGUUUUGGUCAUUUGUAAUGAUCUUCCCAAUCUACCAUUCAUAUACAUUUCUAUCAUUAUUUGUCGAACAGAAAAUACGUGUAGCGAAAAUAACAAUAAUAAUUUGAUUAAUAAUGAUAAUAAUUUGAUUGUUUAGUUUUGAAGAUUUUUACCUUAGAUUUGAGGGAAAAGUGCGUAAAAUUCUCUUGAACUUUUUACCUUUGUGAGUUCUCGACUUAAACUAUUUUUUAUUCUUAAUUACCCAUUAAAUUUUACAUGUUUGUGAAAUUGGUUUCUAUAAAUAUUUUAUUAAAUUAGUCGAAGACAAUAAGGAAAUUGUUGCAAUCAAAACUAUAAGAAUAACAGUGCAACAAUGUAAAUUAGUAAAUGUUAAUAUUCGAAGAAAAUCAACAUCAAAAUACAAAAAAAUCAUAAAAUUUAAUAAUUUUUAUAGACUUUUCCCUAUAUUUUAAGAGAAUUCCUUUCUAUCUAUUAUUUUAACAGAAAAUUAAAAUGAGAUUUUAUUAGAGGAGUUAAUGGGUAUGUAGAAGAAGUGGUGAUCUAUUCCACACAAGUCUAAAGAAAAGUUAAAACAAUAAAAUAAUCUACAUAUUUAAUAUUUAUUAUGUAUAAUAAUAAUUAAAAGUUGUAUAUCUUACGUUUAGAAUAUUCUAAAGAUUUAAGUAGAUUAACUUUAUCCUUUCGCCCAAACAAAAACAUUAUUUCUAAGUUGUCAUAUAUUCUAAAUAAUUAUAAACUAUAUCGAAAUCACAGUUUCUUCUUUUAUUUUUCACACAUGCUUCUCCUUCAUAUCUAUUGAUUAUACUUUAGCAGCUAGUAUCCCAUGUAUUGUGUAUGCAUUCUUAAAUUUACCGUGCUUUAUAAAAAUUAUAAUAGAUUUAUUGAUCUUAAUAAAUUUAAGUUUUAACUAUAAAACAUAAUUCCGGUUAUUACUAUAAAAAACUUACGUUGUUGUGUGAGACCAUAUUUUUUUAAGAUAUAGCACUUUUGAUUUAUAAAAUCAAUGGUUAAUUACUUGAAUUUUUUCGUGAAUAAAUUAGUAAACAACAUUUGAGUCUUUUUAUUUAUUUAUACUUAAUAAUUGACAUGCUAGCUAUUUAUCAUACACUGUAUCAUACAUUAUAAAUUAACGACACCUAGAACACAUUUAUUUAAAAUUUUAAUUAUUUCUUAUUAAAUAUUAAAAAAAUAAAUUUAAUUAUUUCUUAUACUGUAUCCUUUGAAGUAUUCACUGUUCUAAUAAAAAAAAUUAAAAUGGGUCAAACUAUCAUCAUUUAUUUUGGAGACAUGUAUAUAAUAUAAGGAUUUAAUAUUUAUAUUCUGAUAGUGUAAAUGUUUUUUAUACAGUCAGUCAAUCAUCCAUUAUUCAUAUGUUAAUCAUCAUUGACCCUCAAACAAAAGUAAUACAAAUCAAUGGUGGAUGGUGUGCUGAUAACAUAAAAAAGUUUACACUAACAGUAUAAAUAUUUUAAACUCAUAAUAUAAUAUAAUAUUUGAUAUUACUAAGAGUCUCUCCUCACUUUUUGGGUAAUGAACUAAUCAUAGAUGCCCCUCCCAACUAAUGUUAUUCCCAGUAAUCGAACCAUUAACUUUGGGGAUCCAAUUGGAUCAUACACCAUUAGACUAACGCCUAUUAGUUAUUAUAAUAUAAUAUAAGAUAUUAUAAGAUCGUAGAAAUAUAGAUAGAAUGUAGCAAAAAANNNNNNNNNNNNNNNNNNNNNNNNNNNNNNNNNNNNNNNNNNNNNNNNNNNNNNNNNNNNNNNNNNNNNNNNNNNNNNNNNNNNNNNNNNNNNNNNNNNNUCUUUGUAUAAAUAUUACAUAUAUACCAAUAAUAUGAGUAUAUAUUUACAUUCAUUUAAUCUUAUAAAACUAUUUUGUCAUUCAAACAAAGAUAAGAAUGAAAUAAUUAAUGAAUUUUUUUCUAUAUACAUGCAUUUAGUCUAAAACACAAAAAGGUGACUUAAUAGGAUAAGAUGUAAUAUAAACUUCAUUCCCAAAAGAGUAUAAAUUGAGAACCAUUCUCUACCCUUUCUUGUAUCUCUCAUAUCCUAUCUUUCCCUAAGCAUCCAUUUUCAUUGAGCCAUGUCUAACUCAAUCCCCAGCUCCAGUAACCCAAUCCCUAGCUCUAGUAACCCAAUCCCAAGCUCUGGUGACCUAAUCCCUAACUCUAGUAACCCAAAGAAGAACAACGGUCGUAGAAGGAUUGAGAUGAAAAUGAUACCCAAAGACAGCAACCUACAAGUCACAUUCUCCAAACUCCGCACUGGGCUAUUCAAGAAAGCGAGCGAGCUUUGCACUCUUUGUGAUGCAAAAGUUGGGCUAGUUGUCUUUUCUCCUGCAAAGAAGGCUUUCUCCUUUGGCGACCCUAGUAUUGAUGCUGUCAUAGACCGCUAUCAAAUGAGGGACCAACCACUGAACCUGGUGAACAUGCAAUAUCUUGAGGCUCACAAAAAUGCUAAUGUUCAGGAGCUUAAUGAUAAGAUUAAUCGGAUCAAUGAAGAUCUUGAGAAUGAGAAGAAGUGCAGUGAAUAGUUGGCUAAGCAAAGGAAAAAGGCACAAGAACAUUUCUGGUGGGCUGCUCCAAUUGAAGAGAUCAAUGGAGAACGAGUUGAUCAAUUGAAGUCGGCUCUUGAGAAUCUAAAGAAGAAUGUGCUUGGUGUUGUUGAAAGGCAGAAUAUUGUCGAGGCUGCUGCUACUAUUGCUGCUGCUAUAUCACAUCCUCUUCACUUUUUUACAGGUGGUGCAUCUUCUUCAAACAACCCUUUGCCACCACCACCUCAGCCACCAACUCAGGAGUUUCAGGUGCAGCCGCCACCGCCACCUCAACAAUAUCCUGUGAAUCCACAACAACCACCUCAACAGUUUAGGCAUCCACAACCACCACCUCAGCAGUUUAUGCAGCCACAACCACUACCUCUGCAGUUUCCGAUUUAUCCACCACCACCACCAUAUAUGCUUCAGAACCAGUCCAUGAUGCUGCCAAAUAAUUUGUUCAAUGGUGGCAUGAAUGGCAUGAUGAAUCAGCAUGCCUUCAAUAAUAAUAAUAUGGGAGGAUAUGGACCUACAUAUGGAUUCUUUUGAUCCAUUUCAAUCCAAAUCCAGCCGAAUCCAAAUCUUCUUUACCAAAAGGUUUUUAUGCUUCUAUACCAACCCAAUGAUGUUUUGCUAACUACUUAAAUGUGUCACUAUGAUAAUUAAUGACAACUAAAAUGAGGUGUGCUAUUUAUUACUAGGCAAAAUCUUAUUAGGUUGGUAUAGAGGCAUACAAAACUUAUGGUAUGGAAAAUUUGGGUUCAAAAUAUGCCCUAUCUUUCUUUUCAAUAAUUUACUGUAUUUCAAUUUCUAUAUUUACAGGUUAGUAUAGAGGCAUAAAAAACUUAUGGUAUAGAAAAUUUGGGUUCAAAAUAUGCCCUAUCUUUCUUUUCAAUAAUUUAAUGUAUUUCAAUUUCUAUAUUUACCAGUUUCAUAGUUGGGACUGAUAAGGGUUUGGAAUUUCAUUAUGUUGCUUGUCUUGUCUGUUUAUGGCAUGUCUGUCAUAAUCUUUGUCAUUUUUUACUUAUGAAUGUAUUAUCAAAUAAAGGGCAUAUUUCUUUUUAAUAUUUCAAGAUCUCUUUCAAUAUUGUGUAUUAUGAUAACAUGUUUAGGGCUCUCAAAUUAUGAACUCCCAAAACAAAAUAAAUAAUGAAUAUUAUUGCUAAAACUAACUGGAAUUGAUUAAACAUAAAUGUGCCUUAUGAUAUAAUAUUUUCUUAACUUCAAUUCUAUCAUAUUUAUACUAAUACUAAAUCCACCAUACAUGCAAUCUAACUGUUAAAUAAAAAAGUGAAUCAUUGGAAAAAAUAUGGACGACGAAGAUAUUUGUUUUAUUUAAAUUAACUAAAAUUUAUUAAAAUGUUUGUAUUGAUCGAGUUUUAUAUGAUUAUAACUAAUGAGAAUAAAGUAUCUCCUCGUAUAAGGAGAAAGUUAUCUCCCUCAGUCAGUGAAAUCAUGACAUGUGAUCUAUUUCAUCAUUUUCUAUACAAAAAAUUCUAAAACUAAAUAAAAUAGUACACAUGUCAUACUUUUACUAGCUUAAGAAGAUAAGUUAUCUCUUAAUGUGAGGAGAUACAUUAUUCUCAUAACUAAUAUAGUAAAACCUUAUUAGGAUCCUUGAAAGGUCUGCAACCAAUGAACUAGAAUUCGCAUUUAAUAACGCUCAUUCAAAAAUUUAUGUGUGUUUCAUAAUGUUAAAUGUAAGGCUGAAGGUAAUUAACAAAAUUCGGUGAAGCAAACACUGUUAAAUGUGAUAGAUAAAUGUGCAAUCAACAACGCCUAAUGAAGCAACUAUUGUUGUUUUUAUGACACGGAGAUUCAACAUCGUUUAGUUAAGUGGGUGUUGUUGAAAGUGACAUAGCACUUUGUAUAGUGAGUGUUGUUGAAUGACAUAUUUUAAAUAUUGGCGUUUCGUGUAACCUAACUACAUAAAUGUAGUUAUAUACACUAGUAAACAGAUUAUACAAUAGUUAGGAAAGAAUGAACUAAUUUUUUCCUAAGUAUUAUUGUAGAUUAUAUUAGUUUGGUAGUCUGUAUAGAUAGAUAUACAAGUGUAUAUAUAUAUAUAUAUAUGUAUUGCAAACUACUUGUAUAUAGUUGGAUUGUUGAGAUUGUGAAAUAGAAAAUGUAAUUAUUGUUGCCGAAAUAAAUGAGAUUGUUUAUAUUUGUCAUAACAUUGUGUUAUUAUAUGUGUUUUGUGUUGUUUGAUAUAUACGUGACAAUAUACUAAAUGUUUUUGAUUUAUCCUACCGGAACUGUUUGAUAUAACAGUACUAUUUGAUGUAGUGUUAUAUCAAAUAGUAUUGUCAUAAGAAUCAACAUUUACUGUAGCAAGUGUUGUAAAUAUGUUGACAUUUCACACUUUCAACAACACUUACUUAAGGAAGUUCUGUUGAUAGUGGCAUAUUCAACAACGCUUGCUUGAGGAAGUUUUAUUGAAAGUGACAUAUUAAAUAACGCUUUCUAGAACAAGCACCAGUGAAAUUGAUAUAUACAACAAUUCUUACUUGACAAAACACUGUUGAAAAUGACACAUUUAGCAAUGCUUUCUAGGGCAAGUGCUAUUGAAAGUGACACAUUCAACAACCUUUCUUCAAGCGAGAACUAUUGAAUGUGUCACUUUCAACAUCGAUUUUAAAAGUACAGUUGAACCUAGCCUUUAUUCUACUGUGAUUACAUUAAUAUUACCUGCAAGCAUUGUUGAUUGUCAAAUUUAAGCAUUAUUGUUUUGCAAUUUUAACAUAUUUCAAAAUAUACAUCAAGAUCGUCUUUGAAACUAAUGUGACAUUUUAGAUACAUCACAUGUGGUAUUCGACAUGCAUCUCACGUUAGCCUCAAAGACAAAANNNNNNNNNNNNNNNNNNNNNNNNNNNNNNNNNNNNNNNNNNNNNNNNNNNNNNNNNNNNNNNNNNNNNNNNNNNNNNNNNNNNNNNNNNNNNNNNNNNNUUCUUCAUUGAUCCUAGCCUUAUAAUGAAUAUCUCUUAUUUUCUGAGAUUCCUCUCACAGAGAGCUUAGUACAAUAGCUCGUGAGAGGUCAUAUUUGAAAAAAAAACAAAAUCUAGAGUCUAACAAAUUUAAUGCAAAGUGCUAGAGAUUGAAAAGAAUGAAUUAGCUUUACGAGAAUGAACAUACUUGUCUAGUGUUAAAUAGGUGUAAUUAAAUUCUGAUUAAAAUUUCCAAAAUGGGGGUUCAUCGAUUCAAAUUAUUGUAACACUUUUAGAUAUACAACAAAGAGGAAUAAAACUCGGAUCCCUAAACUUAGUAUAUAAGGAAUUUUGACUAAAAGUGUUGCUUGUGCAUGAAAUAUUCUCUUGAAAACACUCCAUGACAAGAAAAAAAAUAAAAAAUUAUAAAAGAGAUUAACAAAUCCAAAUAGAUUUGGCUCAAGAUUAAACUAAAAAAGAAUGAAACGAGGGAUGAUAUUUUUCCCACAUCCUUUUACCCAUUAUUCAUUAUUAUUCAUUAUAAAAAAAUGUGUUCGAAAUGACAAUGGGUAGUUUAUAACAAGAUGGUUGAGAUUUUUGUAAAAAUAAAUUGAUAAGAAUGGUGACAUAAAUAUUUUCUUCUUACAACUCAUUCAAGAACUAAAACUUAAAUUAAUCCCCAAUUAUAUAUUGAACAUUUUUUAUAAGGAGGGGUCUGUUUACAUUCAAGUUAAGUUAUACCAGUUACAAUUAAUCUCACAGACCAAAUUAGUGAAUGCAAUAAAUGAUGUGAGAGAAAAUGAUAAAUCUUAAAUAACUUUUAAGUUUCACCUAUUUGGUCCAUUGGAUCAAAGAAAAGGAAUGACUAAGAUUAAGUAUUACUACUGUAACUUGUUAGAUAUUUUCUAAUGUUUGGUGAAAUAUCAAUCCGUGGAUCCUAGGAAAGUGCAGACCGUAAUGGAAUGGAAUUCUCCGAAGUUGGUGACGGAGAUCAGAAGCUUUCUCGGAUUAGCGGGGUACUAUAGGAAAUUGAUUGAAGGAUUUUCAAAGUUCGCCUUGCUGCUAACUACACUAACGAGGAAGGACAAACCCUUUGUGUGCACGACAAAGGGCGAAUCAAGUUUUCAAGAGUUGAAGGACAGGUUGACCAUAGUGUCUGUAUUAGUCUUUCCAGAUCCCAACGAAAACUACAACAUCUAUUGUGACGCGUCUAAGCAAGGAUUAGGUUGCAUGUUGAUGCAACAAAGGAAAGUAGUGGCUUAUGCGUCAAGGCAGUUAAAGACACAUGAGCAGAACUACCCAACACACGAUGUGGAACUAGCAGCAAUCUUGUUUCCCGUCAAGGUGUGGAGACACCAUCUGUAUGGUGUGAGAUUCGAAGUUUUCAGCGACCACAAGAGUUUGAAGUACCUCUUCGGCUAGAAGGAACUGAACAUUAGACAUAGACGACAUAUGGAAUUCCUCAAGGACUACGAUUUUGUUCUUCAGUACCACCCCGAAAAAGCUAACGUGGUGGCUGAUGCAUUGCGUAGGAAGUCUUUGCACAUUUCAACCAUGAUGGUCAGAGAAAUGAAGCUGAUGGAGGAGUUUAGGGAUUUGAAUUUAGCGAUUUAAGUAUGACCUAAAAGUUUGAUUUUAGGCAUGCUUACCAUAACAAAUGAGUUUUUGGAACAACUGAAGGGUUUACAAGGUUUGGAUCCAAAACUACAAGAAAAGAGAAUCUUGUUGGCUGAAGGGAAAUCUCCGGAAUUUCAGGUAGAAACCGAUGGAGUACUCAAAUGCAAGAAUCGAGUCUGUGUGCCAAGAGAUCCCGAUUUAAGAAUGGAGAUCUUGGACGUAGCUCAAAAAAGCAAGCUAAGUAUUCAUCUAGGAGCUACCAAGAUGUAUCAAGACCUGAAGAAGAUACUUUGGUGGUCCAAUAUGAAGAAAGAUGUAGCGUAGUAUGUCUCCCGUUGCUUAGUGUGCCAAAAAGCAAAACAUGAGCACAAGCGACCCGGUGGAGAACUUCAACCCUUGGAUAUCCCUGUAUGGAAAUGGGAUAGCAUUUCAAUGGACUUCGUGAACGGUUUUCCACGAACUCAAAAGGGUUAUGACACUGUUUGGUUAAUUGUGAAUCAUUUGAUGAAGACGACUCACUUUCUACCAAUCAACAUAAAGUACUCUUUGGAGAGACUGGCAGAGUUGUACAGUAAUGAAAUAGUCCGAUUGCAUGAUAUUCCUACAAAUAUCAUCUCAAAUAGCUUAUCAAAUAGCCUUGCCACCUUUGCGGUCAAACCUACAUAAUGUCUUCCAUGUGUCUCAACUCAGAAAAUACAUUAGUGACCCGUCGCAUGUUAUUGAACCCGACUCAAUUCAGUUCAAGGAUAAUCUCACUUUCCAGACUUUGUCGUUGAGAAUUGCCGAUCGGAGUGUGAUGACUCUACGAGGCAAAGAAAUCGCCUUAGUUAAGGUAAUUUGGAGCCAGAAGAAUGAUGAAGAUGUUACUUUGGAGGUUGAAAGUGGCAUGAAGGAAUCAUUCCCCCAUCUAUUUUCUUAGAAGGUAUGAUUAAUUUUCAAGGACGAAAAUUUUAUAAGAUGGGGAGGAUUGUAACACCGUGUUUUUUAGAGCACUUUUAAUUAUGUAAUUAGUAUUAAUGUAUUAAUUAUAGAAAUUAAUCAGUAAUGUUUUGGGUUAAACCCUAGCUGAGUAUUAGUCUUGUAUUAUGAUUUUCUUGCUUUCUCUAUUUUUUCAAGAUUUUUUGAGAAUAAAAGUUUCUGAGACGAUUUCGGGUCGUUUUAUCGAGUUUUUGCCCAGUUUUUGAGUUCCGUAAUUCGGAAUCGAAUUCUGAUUUCUCCGUUGGCUUAGAAAUAUUAUUUCUAGUAAAAAAUAGAUACCAAGUUUGUCUGUAACUCACCUCUAGAUAUUUUUCACCUCAAAAUUCAAGUUUCAACGUUUCGGGCAAAUGUCCUAAAUCGGGAGAUUGUAUAUUUCCGGACGAAAUUAUCCAUAAAUGUUCGGACACGACGUUUAUCGGGAAAUUACGUCAUAUCAAUAAAGUUGGAAGUCAUCAUUUCAUGAGCCACUUGUUACACAAGUAAUGCAAAAGCUUCCAAAUGCCCCUAAAUCACUCAACAAAUCUUCUCACUCCACCACCAUAAGACACAUCACCUAUGCUAGUCUAAAUCUACUUACUUUGCAUUAAAUUUUCUGAUUUGAUGAGGGAGAGGUUAUCCUAUAAAUACCUCACCCCAUUCUCUCAUUUUUACACUAAAUUCCCUAUACAAACUCAGGUAGUCUUUUAUUUUCUCUUGUUCAUUUUCUUCUCAUACUUCAUAUAAAGUUAUGAGCUUUUAUUAUGUUGCUCAUACAGUAGAGUUUAUAUUUGUUCUUUAAGUAUUUUAUGAAGGCAUAACUAAAGGGGAUGAUAAUAAAAUCAUAUGAACCUUUAUNNNNNNNNNNNNNNNNNNNNNNNNNNNNNNNNNNNNNNNNNNNNNNNNNNNNNNNNNNNNNNNNNNNNNNNNNNNNNNNNNNNNNNNNNNNNNNNNNNNNGGAUAGGAUGAGGACGAGAAUGAGGAGGAGGAUAUGAUGAGGAAGAGGAUAGGAUGAGGACGAGAAUAAGGAUGAGGAUAGGAUGAGAAGGAGGAUGAGGAUGAGGAAGAGGAUGAGGAUGAGGAGGAGGAUGAGGAUAGGAUGAGGACGAGAAUGAGGAUGAGGAUAGGAUGAGGAUGAGGAUGAGGAAGAGGACGAGGAUGAGGAAGUGGAUAGGAUGAGGACGAGAAUGAGGAUGAGGAUGAGGAUAGGAUGUGGAUGAGGAUAGGAUGGGGAUGAGGAAGAGGAUGAGGAUGUCGAUGAGGAUAGGAUGAGGACAAGAAUGAGGAUAAGGACAUGAUGAGGAUGAGGACGAGGAUAGCAUUAGGACGAUAAUGAGGAUGACGAUAGGAUGUGGAUGAGAAGGAGGAUGAGGACGAUAAUGAGGACGAGGGUAGGAUAAGGAAAAGGAUGAGGAUGAGGAAAAGGAUGAGGCUAGGAUGAGGACGUGAAUGAGGAUGAGGAAAGUAUGAGGAGGAGGAUGAGGAUUAGGGUAGGAUGACGACGAGGAUGAGGAUGAGGAUUGGAUUAGGACUAGCAUGAGGAUAAGGAUGAGGAAGAGGAUGAGGAUAGGAUGAGGAUGGGAAAAGGAUGAGGAUNNNNNNNNNNNNNNNNNNNNNNNNNNNNNNNNNNNNNNNNNNNNNNNNNNNNNNNNNNNNNNNNNNNNNNNNNNNNNNNNNNNNNNNNNNNNNNNNNNNNAAAAUGAUAUUCAGGCUCUUCUCGCUUAAGCGAGAAGUGUCUAGGGAAUACACGUGUUUUAGCUCGGGGCAAGACAUCUCUCUUGAGCUAAAAUAGGCACCAAGAGAACUGAUUGUUUUCUCGCUUAAGCCACAAAUGCCUCAAAAAUGGAUGUGACCUCACUUGAGCAAGACAACUCUUGCUUGAGCGAGAGGGUUCCAUACAGACAUGAGUUGUGUUUAAGUCAUCUGAACGAUAACUCUCAUAUAUACGAGAGCCUAAUGGCAUGUUUGCCAUCAAGAAGUUGUAAAGGUAAAUAACUAUAUGAAAUUCUUGAAAGUAAUAAAAGUAAGGAAUUGUUUUGUUAAAGGCGAGGCCCGAGGAUGUGAUAUUAUGCCCACGCAGCGAGAUCGUUUGAUCGUAAGAUACUUGGCUAGAGGAGUCAUCCAGGAUGAUUCAGCGAUGUUUCGUAGUGGUGUUGAGAAGUAUUAUGUUGUUCCCAUGCAGCGAGAUCGUCUGACUGUAAGAGGCUUGGCUUGAGAGUCGUCCAGGAUAAUUCAAUGAUGGUUCGAAGUGGUGCCUAAACUAUUCUAUUUUUGUUUAUAUGUUAAGAUCCUGACCCACUACAAGCAUUCCCGAUGGGAGAUGUCUUAGGAUGGGCAGAUUGCUAGAAAAGAUGGAUUAAAAGGCAUAAUUUUCUAAUUUCGGUUAGGGUGCAUAUCCAUGGUAAAAAAUGAAGUAGUGGAGUGGAAAUGUAUGGGAGAGGAAUGAGCCCCGAGAUGUUGAGAGGGACGGUCUUGAUGGUGGUGAUUCGUCAACAAAUUCUUGAGGGAGAGUCUAGGUGAGACGAGUCCCAUGUAUUCCUAGAUGAGGUAUUAUGUUGGAUCGGACAGUGCUCACAGCGCAAACUCGACGAUCUUUGACAACCCCUCUUUGCAAUCAUGAUCGAUGAGAGGGAUGCCCAAAAAGUGUUUGAUACGACACCGUCCUGAAAUGGACAGUUCUGUUGGAACAUAUUGAUCAUAUAUCCUUGCGAGGAAUAAUUUUGGUGCGAUCAAAUCGGCUUGUUAUGGGAACUGUACUCUCGAUUAUUUCUGAAUAGUUAUUGGGAUGAUAAAGGAGUAAGGAUGGUGGAAUCAUGCAUCGCAUUGCAUACAUGAUAUUCUUCCAUCUAAGUUCUCGAGUUUUAUACUUCAUUCAUCAUUAUUAUAUGCUUGUAUGAUCACAUGAUAUAUUUGUACUUGUGUGUUGUCUUGGUGUAUUAUUCUGUGUAAUUCCACGAUGUCGAUGACAAGUUUUUCAUAGAUGUUUUACUCCCUCUCUUUUCUUCCGGUGUAUUUGUACACAUGUUCAGAUGGACCCAUCAGCACUGAUCCGAGGUUAUCGCUUCACUAUGUCCCAGGAGGGGACAUGGAGUGUUGAGGGUAAUCGACACACUUACACAGGUCCUUACAACCUGGAGCUGGAUUGGGUAAGCAAUGGCUCAGUUGUGCAUCUUCCACUUUACUACACAGUUCAGGAGGCAUCAUUCACUUUGCCCGACCGAAGACAUUCAACCACCAGACUUUCUGUACCGGCUGAAGCUCAAGGCGUACCAGAAGUUGUUAGGACUUGACCCCAAACAAGAUUCUCAUCAUUAGGAUCUGUGCCAAGAGAGACAAACGGGGCCAUGCCAAGGGGUACACCCUGGACCCCUCGAUGGAUUGGGGAGCGGAUGAAGUUGAGGAGGAGGAAGACAAUGGCGACUGUGUAGAGUUUAUCUUUUUAUGAAUGGAUGCAUAAAUGAAUAUGUAACAUCCCUCCUUUCAGCACCUUGCUUAGGUAGACAUAGGACUAUAUAUAUAUAUAUAUGUGUUUGUGUGUGUGUGUGUGCUUAUGUAUGUGAUUAUAUUUUAUUGAUAUUAGAAUGCUAAAUGUUUAAUAAUUGCUUUGAAAAUAAGUUGAUCUAGUUAGUUUCAAAGCUGUCCAAGUUUAAAGUCUAGCCGUUAUCGGGUAAUGUAUGAUUCUAGAAUUUUAAUUAGAAUUGGUCUAAGUGACCACCUAACCUAUUAGAUUUCAUAUUGCUUUAUUGAUGUUGAUUUUUGAGGAUAGAAAGUUAUUAUCUUAGUGUUAUACUAUGAUAAAUAACUUAGUUAAAAGUCUCUAGAAAAAGUGCUGGUUUUAAUGUACCUUUGAACUGGAUUGCUCGAGAGUGCCUGUGAUAUUUUCUAUCAGUUCUUUGAGUACUUGAACUAUCAUCUAUACUCCCUUAGACAUUGUUUAAGGUUUUAUUAAGGUGUCUUAGAGCACAAGAAAACACAUCCAUGCACUACACUAAUUGCUCAAACCAAAUACCACAUUAUGCAUCUACAACUUUGCUAAAUUACCUAAUCGUUAUUUAAAUCUUAAUGACACCCAACCCAAAAUAUCUUCCUCCACUAACUCAUCCCUAACACCUAUAUAUACAUGACCUUAAAGGGGGUGGGGGCUGAAUUUUCACACUCUCACACCUCCUCACCAACACUCCAUCUUCAUUCAUCUUCUCCACUCUUUCUUCCUAACGUUAGCACUAAGGAGGAAGGGAGAAAGCCUCCAUCUUCUUCUCCAAACUCACAUACAAGUGAGAAAUCUGAAUCCCCAAGGUAUCUAGUUCACCUACAUUUCUUUUAAUCUACACUUUCUUAAGGUUUUGUUGGUUGGAUUCUCAUUAAGAUUUCAUGAACUAAAAGUGGUGCAACUAUGGAUUAUAGUGUAGAGUUUGCCUGGAUUUCCUCCUAAUUUCUCUUCAAAGACUCUACCCAACCAUUUCAAGGUAGGGAGAACUCCAAUUUCACCUCUUAUUCACGAAAAAAUGACAUGCAAGGAAUUUCCUUACUGUUUUAAAAUUCCGUUCUAAGUGUAGUUAGGGAAAUCAUGCAUUGUUGUGGUUGUUGUGGUUGUUGUUGAGUUGUAAGCUUAGGGUUGUGUUAGAAAUGAUCAUGGCUAUGUUUAGAACUGUUUGCAUGUUAGAAAUCUUCUGUGAGCAGGUCUUUUUAUCCCUAGAAUUUCGUGGUGAAAGGGUUUCUAAACCCAAUCACCUCCUUGUGUUGUUGAUAGAUCCAAAAGGGUAUUUUAGGUGUUGUUGUGAUUGUUCUAGGGUGUUAGGAUUGAAAAACCCUUGCAUGUGUUAUAAGCUUUGUUUAACACACUGAACUCAUGAUAUUUAACUCAUUCCAAAGGUUAGAACUCGAAAAUUUUGAAGGCUAAGAAGCCAUGCAAAUCGGUCCCAUGUAUUCAAGAGUUAAGGAAAACCCUAAUACCUUAGUUCCUUGAUAACUUGAGUUCCUAACGUCCAAAUUUUACAUAUAAUAUAUGCAUGUGUUCAUAUUUUAAAUUCCUAUCUAAAUAUCAUUCUUUCAUGGACAAGAAAAAUUCGAAAGCCUUACUGUUUAAAGGGAAAAACGAAAACAGUCCCUAGUUGGCACUCCAAACUAUCUAAUUUUUGACUAUAUGUUAGCCUAUGUUUCAAAUUGCCUUAUGGUUUAUAAAUUCUGAGUUUUAUGAGCCUAAACUUAUAUUAGUACUCUUUUUAUGAAGAUAAAAUGUGUAUCUCAAGAUAAUAAUUUUUCUAAAGCUUUUCUGAAGCGAAUCCGAGCCUCCUAAGUCAAAUUCUGAGUUUUAAACCAAUAAGCGUCCCUGAAAAUCUUUUCGUGCCUAAUCAAGAUUUUAGUUAUAUACAAACUAGAUAUUUGAGUAUGUUAUAAUGUGUAGAAACUCAUUUAGGUGUUUACCUUUUCAAUAUGAAUAAACUUAGUGAUAUCGAAAUUAACUAUUUAUGACCUAAUCAGGUACACGACACUCGAGCAAUCAGCAACAAAGGAACAUUAAGUUCAGUAAGGUUAAAGGUAUGGAGAGAAGUGUCUUUAUAUAGGUGCUUAGAAAUGAUGCCAAAGAUGUUAAUGCAUCUCUAAGAUAGGCCAUGUGCGGAUAUAGUCGAAUACUAUUUCUGUGGCCGCGAACAAUCGAGUAGCGAGACUUAGUUGUUCGUAAAUUAAUUUAAACUCUAAAUUAUGAUGGAUAUGCUUGGUUGAAGUGGUUCAAUGGAAUUGAAUGAUUAUGUUUGUUGAUAUAAAUGAUCAUUAUGACUAAAAGUUUGAUAAUAAAAGUACUGAUUUAACUGAAUAUUCUGUUGAAUUUUGAACUGUGACAUAUUGUUGAGUUGACUAUUAAACUGUCAUCAAACAUUCUCAUGGCAUAGCAUAUGAAAAUUCUUGAUGAAACUUAAAGAAUGAAAUUUUGGCUUAUGAAAGAUUUGACGAAGGAUGAAGGGGAAAUAUUUUUCUGACUUAUAUCAGAACUGGCGUAUUUUUACAGUGAUUAGAAAAUCCUUUCGAUCAAUAAGCCAGUGAGUUAGAACUUGAAGAAAAUGUUGUAAUUGAGUUUCAAUGAAAAUGUUUUGUUAUUACCCUAAAAAGGCUUCCCCUGAUUCUUCUUUUUAAAAGGAAAAAAAAAAGCUAUGCUUUGUAUGAAUGGGAAGAUUCAUGUCACUGUGUUUACAAUUUGUAACAUAGUCUGUGGGAAGAUACGACACUGAGAUUGUGUUGAGAACCCAGAGGGGUACCUUGUCUAUGUGACUUGGUUGAGGGGACAUUGUGGGUGGAGAUUGAUUUGUCAGGAAUAGGGUAGCUCCCUUGAGCCGACAGAACUCUUCGCAGUAACUACAGCGAACUCUGACACCCCCUUGAAGGUAUCGUGCUCAGGGUGAUGCAGCGGUUAUCUUUGCCAACCGGAGGGUAUUUCCGGCGCUAUUGAGUGCACGAUAGUUAUAUGCCUUUUGGUUACCAAUGGUUGGCACGUCGUUGUAUUCGUCUUGUUCGCUUCCUAAGAACAACAAAUGGCUGGUCGGGCUCGAUCAGUCGGUACCAUUGUUGUUGAGGUAUCAUUAGGGGCCCAGUUAGGAGACGUUUUCUCCAUGCAUUCAUCUACAAAAUAGUUGGUCUGAUUAGAUUAACGAGUGCAUUCAUUAUUACAUCAUGCUCAUACAUAUGAUUAAAUUGUUAUAUUAAUACAUAUUUGAUCUGUUUUAUGUUAUGACUUUAUUAAUUGUUGAUUGUUUAUCUUAUAUAGAAGUGCUUACUCUCCAAUCUCACAUUACAGAUAGUGAUGGACUAAGAGGCUUCUUUUGUGAUUCCUCCUUAUCGAGUAGAGAUCAUGCCUCUCCCGUCGAGGGAGGUUGAGGUGGACCGGUCUAGGGCGGUGUUUAGGGGAGACAUAGAAAUCACGUGUUCAUACUCGGACGGGGACCACCUGUGACCCCGACUAGUCGUACUGAGACGACUCGGGGAGUUCAGACUUGUCGUUGUAUCUGGUGUCUUUCUUUACGGGAGAGUCAUAUNCCGCUCUACCGUUCCAGCGGUCUAUAUCAUGCACAUACCAGACGCUUACGAGUUACGACGCAUGCCUCCUCUUGCUCCUUCCAAGUAUAUUCCAUCUCCUACUGCUCCUCUUUACCUAUAUUCUGGAUCCUAUCAUGCUCGGACACGUAGGGUUGCGCCAUUCCGGUGUACACCCAGAGCCUCGGUGAGACGUUANNNNNNNNNNNNNNNNNNNNNNNNNNNNNNNNNNNNNNNNNNNNNNNNNNNNNNNNNNNNNNNNNNNNNNNNNNNNNNNNNNNNNNNNNNNNNNNNNNNNCAUAUGUGUACAAACUUUAGUGUACAACAACGUUAGUUAUGAUAAGAUAGAGUCUUGCUCCUAUGUAUUCUUAUGAAUAGUAGGGAAUCAAUACUACCUAGUUCUUCAUAGAAAAAUAUUUGUUUGUUGGAUUUAUUUUAUUUAUUAGAUGAUUUAGCAUUAUUUAUUUUUCAAAACAUGAUUUAGCAAUUAUUUAUGAGGCAACAACUCUCGUAUUAACACCACAUAUCAGCUUAAAGGGACCAGUUUUAAUUAAUUAUCCAUUUCAUNNNNNNNNNNNNNNNNNNNNNNNNNNNNNNNNNNNNNNNNNNNNNNNNNNNNNNNNNNNNNNNNNNNNNNNNNNNNNNNNNNNNNNNNNNNNNNNNNNNNUUAUUGAAAAUAAAAAACUAAUAAGUUAAUCAUUUUUAGUGAUAUAAAAAAUAAUUAUCACCAUAAAAACUAUAUAUAAAUGAAAAACAAAGAUGAAAAGAAUGUGCAUAACUACAUCUCCGAAUAAACAAAAGAAGGGGUUCACCACAAAUUUCUCUCUACGUAUGAUAUAGCAUUAUUAGAUGAUUUUUAUUUGAUAUCUGAAAGAAUUUUUAUUUAUUAGAUGAUUUAGCAUUAUUUUUUUCAUGGUGUAUUUCUUCUUUGUUUUCCAGGAGCUCAAGACCUCUAUUUAUAAGUGGAAUUUGACAUAUAUUGAAAGCUAAAGAGAAUCUCUGUAAUUCAUGUCUCCAAUCAAUUAAAUCAUUUUACUUUUUAGAAUCAAAUAUGUUAUUGAUUGAAUUUAUUAUGAAAUUUGAAUAUUAGAUAUAAUAUAGCNNNNNNNNNNNNNNNNNNNNNNNNNNNNNNNNNNNNNNNNNNNNNNNNNNNNNNNNNNNNNNNNNNNNNNNNNNNNNNNNNNNNNNNNNNNNNNNNNNNNACACUCUAUGGCAUAACCCACUUAUAAGUAUAAAACAUAUUACAUGAGUUUUAUGGAGUCUAAGUGACUAGAAUAUUUUAUUCUUAUUUUUAUAUAAGAAACGAAAAUCGAAGAGUAAUCGCAUUUUUUUAUAUAAAAAUAGAAUCUUUCAAUUACUAGGCUAAUAAGUGUUUAACAAGUGACUUAAAACUAUUUUUUAUUUAAAAAGGUAAAAAAUGAGAAACGAGUGAAAAUUGAGUCAUUUGCUAUCCUUAACUAAUNNNNNNNNNNNNNNNNNNNNNNNNNNNNNNNNNNNNNNNNNNNNNNNNNNNNNNNNNNNNNNNNNNNNNNNNNNNNNNNNNNNNNNNNNNNNNNNNNNNNGACUUCAGGUAGCAAAUAUAUGAAUAUUGUGUUAUAUGAGUGAACACAAAAGACAUUAUAAGAUUAUAAAUGAAAAUAUUAUUAGAGAAAAUUUGAGUAGCUCAUAUUNCUAAGUAAAAGUAGGUGUUCAUAGACUUCAGGUAGCAAAUAUAUGAAUAUUGUGUUAUGUGAGUGACCACAAAAGACAUUAUAAGAUUAGAAAUGAAAUAUUAUUAGAGAAAAUUUGAGUAGCUCAUAUUAUAGAAAAGAUGAUAGUAUCGUGACUUAGGUGAUUUAGGCAUUUGUGAAGAAAACUAGUAGAAACCCCUGUAGUGAUAGUAGACCAAGUUCCUAGAAAUUGAGGAUACCAACAAAUCAUAGGGAAAAUGAUAGAUAAAGACUUAGAAAUUAAUGAUGUACCAAUAAACAUAAUUUAUUAUAUAAUAUUAUAGUGUCGUUUGAUCCAUGUAAUCGAUGUGUGAGAUAAAAACUUAGUUGUUUUUUUGUAGUUAAGCAAUACAAUUAAAAUAUUGAUUAUGACCAAUAUUAAGUUUUAACUUUUAAGCACACGUUGAUUUAUUUUUUAAUACAUUUAAUACUUAAUCAAAUAACAUUAAUAAAGUUGAUAAAUUUUAACAUUUAAAUUAAUGCAUUAAGUACGUCACACAAUAUAUAUUUCUUUCUUCAUGUUAUCAAUAUUAUUGGUAUCAUUGUUUAGGAGUUUCACAUUGGGUAACAUAAUAAACUUAAUAUGAUACUUGAACCAUGAAACUCUCUUAUCUAAUAGACUAGUCUUUUGAGUAAAUUACAGUGACAUCUCCCGAGUUUUAGCGAAAUUACACAAACCACUCCUUACUUUUUUACACCUACCCAAACCCCCUAAUUUUUAUACUUUCAUUAUACUAUUCACUUCUGCACGAAAAAUAAGUGACAAAUCCAAAAGAAAGGGCGGAAAUAUUAAUCAUCGCCAAAGUCAUUAAAUGAUAAACAACUCCUAGUGGCUAACUCCAAAGCUAGGGUACNUUUCAUUAUACUAUUCACUUCUGCACGAAAAAUAAGUGAAAUCUUUUAAACAAAAAUGUGAUGAAUAUAAUAUACUUAAACAAAACAUGUUAUAUUGUGGAGACAAAACCAAAUAAUAUAUGAGUNNNNNNNNNNNNNNNNNNNNNNNNNNNNNNNNNNNNNNNNNNNNNNNNNNNNNNNNNNNNNNNNNNNNNNNNNNNNNNNNNNNNNNNNNNNNNNNNNNNNAAGUGGUGAUCUAUUCUACACAAGUCUAAAGAAAACUUAAAAAAAUAAAAUUAUCUACAUAAUUAAAAGUUAUUAUGUAUAAAAAUAAUUAAAAGUUGUAUAACUUACUUUUAGAAUAUUCUNAGAUUAACUUUAUCGUUUCGUCCAAACAAAAACAUUAUUUCUAAUUUGUCAUAUAUUCUAAAUAAUUAAAACUAUAUCGAAAUCACAGUUUCUUCUUUUAUUUUUCACCCUUGUUUCUCCUUCAUAUCUAUUGAUUAGACUUUAGCAGNNNNNNNNNNNNNNNNNNNNNNNNNNNNNNNNNNNNNNNNNNNNNNNNNNNNNNNNNNNNNNNNNNNNNNNNNNNNNNNNNNNNNNNNNNNNNNNNNNNNCAAACAAAGAUAAGAAUGAAAUAAUUAAUGAAUUUGUUCUAUAUACAUGCAUUUAGUUUAAAACACAAAAAGUUGACUUAAUAACAUCAGAUGUAAUAUAAACUUCAUUGCCAAAAGAGUAUAAGGAUUGAGAUGUAAUAUAAACUUCAUAGCCUAUCUUUCCCUAAGCAUCCAUUUUCAUUGAGCCAUGUCUAACUCAAUCCCUAGCUCUUGUAACCCAAUCCCUAGCUCUANNNNNNNNNNNNNNNNNNNNNNNNNNNNNNNNNNNNNNNNNNNNNNNNNNNNNNNNNNNNNNNNNNNNNNNNNNNNNNNNNNNNNNNNNNNNNNNNNNNNGCUAUCAAUGUACAAUUUUCAUAUGACACUAAUCAAAGGAAAGCAAACUAUUGUGUACAAUAUCAUAUUUCAUAGGAUUUUUCCUAGUUUGUGUUUUGUCAUGUUUCAUUAAAAAAUAAACAUGUCUCUUCAAUAAGGAGAUGCAAUAUUUUUGAAGUACAAAAAUAGUUUCGUAAACCUACACAAGUUUUUAUCAAUGUAUGAUUUCCAUGAACCAAUACAUAUUUUCACUAAUACUAAAUAAUUAGUAUAUUGAUCCUGACCCUUAACAUAAGUUCUUACUUUAAAAAACAUGACAAAGAAAUAUCUCUUAUUUUCUGAAAAUCCUCUCAAGAGAGCUUAGUACAACAGCUCGUGAGAGGUCAUAUUUGCAAAACAAAAUCUAGAGUCUCACAAAUUUAAUGCAAAGUGCUAGAGAUUGAAAAUAAUGAAUUAGCUUUAUGAGAAUGAACAUAUUUAUCUAGUGUUAAAUAGGUGUAAUGAAAUUAUGAUUAAAAUUUCCAAAAUGGGGGUUCAUCGAUUCAAAUUAUGGUAACACUUUUAGAUAUACAACAAAAAGGAAUAAAAAUCAGAAGUGUUGCUUGUUUAGUAAAUACACUUUUAGUAAGUGAAAUAAUUAUUAAUUCCAUUACCAAAUACCCUUAACCCACAAAGAUCCUAAUUCAUGUGGUUCUAUAAGGCACACUUGGUAGCUAAUGGUUAGUCACAACUACAAGGUUUUGUUUUUGCUGAUGUGUUUGCUCUAGUUAUAAAAUUAGCAAUUGUAAGAACUUUUCUUAGUGUUGCAACAACUAAAAAUUGGACAACGUAUCAAAUGAAUGUUUCCUAUGCCUUUCUACAUGGUGAUUUCCAAGAAUAGGUGUAGGUGCAACCUCCUCAUGGGUUUCGAAGGUAAGUGAGAUACAUAUUUUUAUGAUAAAUAAAACAAUUUUGGCUUAAAACUUGCAUGUCAAACUUGGUUUACUACACUCUCUAUGCCUUAUUUGUAGUUUGUUAUAAUCAACCCAAAGCUGACUACUCCAUGUUUACAUUUCCUCAUGCAUCUUAUAUCACCGUUUUACUUAUCUAUGUUGAUGAUAUUGCAAUUACAUGAGAAGAUCCAAUAAUUAUUUCACUUAUUGAAAAAUACAUUCCCAACUUGUUUAACAUGAAUGAUCUUGAGUCAUUGAUAUAUUAUUUGGGUGUUGAAUUAGCACACUGUAAGGCUAGAACUUUUCAUAACAAAUGGAAAUAUGCAUUAGAAAUUUUGCAGGACACUAAUCUUCUUGCAAUUAAAUUAGUUGCAUCUCUAUUGGAUUAAAGUAAGCCAUCUAGAUAUAAUUCAUUCGGUGAACUUUUGUCACAAUUUAUGUCUUCUCCAUUGAACACGCACUGACAAGAAGCUCUUCGAGUGGUUAAAUACAUCAAGUCUGCCCUAAGGAAUCUUUAUCUCAAUUGACUCUUCUUUACUCCUCCAUGCAUAUUGUGAUACAGAUUGGGCUUCUUAUCCAACUUUUACAUGAUCAAUCACUGAGUAUUGUACUUUUUUAGUCGAAGUCUGCUAUCUUGGAGAACUAAUUAACAAUUACCACAAUUUUCCGCUCCACCUCCGAAGUUGAAUAUUGUGUUAUGGCAAUGAUGUUAGUGAAAUGACAUGGUUGCAAACUCUUCACCAGUUAAGCAUUUCACCACAUCCUCAAUCUUGUGAUAAUCAAAUUACCCUCCAUGUAGCAAAUAAUCAUGUUUUCCAUGAGCUAACAAAUCAUGUAGAAAUUGAUUGUCAUUUGGUUUGAAACAAAAAUUCAAAGAGGUCAAUCUUAUAUCUUCACUAAUAAGCAAGUAAUAGAUAUUUUUAUAAAGGCUCUACCAGCUUCACAUAGUCACUUAACUUCCAAGCUCAUGUACCUUCCUCAAUAGUGAGCUUGAGGNNNNNNNNNNNNNNNNNNNNNNNNNNNNNNNNNNNNNNNNNNNNNNNNNNNNNNNNNNNNNNNNNNNNNNNNNNNNNNNNNNNNNNNNNNNNNNNNNNNNUAUGAAGAAAGAUGUAGUGGAGUAUGUCUCCCGUUGCUGAGUGUGCCAAAAAGCAAAACUUGAGCACAAGCGACCCGGUGGAGAACUUCAACCCUUGGAUAUCCCUGUAUGGAAAUGGGAUAAAAUUUCAAUGGACUUCGUGAGCUUUUUUCCACGAACUCAGAAGGGUUAUGACGCUGUUUGGUUAAUUGUGGAUCGUUUGACGAAGACGGCUCACUUUCUAACAAUCAACAUAAAAUACUCUUUGGAGAGACUGGCAGAGUUGUACGUAAACGAAAUAGUCCGAUUGCAUGAUAUUCCUACAAAUAUCAUCUCGGAUAGCUUAUCAAAUACCUAGUCCGAUUUUACAUUAACCAAAAUUUUAUAAGUUGGGGAGGAUUGUAACACUGUNNNNNNNNNNNNNNNNNNNNNNNNNNNNNNNNNNNNNNNNNNNNNNNNNNNNNNNNNNNNNNNNNNNNNNNNNNNNNNNNNNNNNNNNNNNNNNNNNNNNAAUACCAUGUGUACUCUUGAAUUAUAAUGUUUGAAUGAUUAUUAUGGGAAUGAUAUGUAUGUGAUAAUUGUUAAAUUCAAGGUUUAAAAAUAUGUGGUAUAAAUGAGAAAUAUUUUCCUUGAGAAAAGUAAUUAAAAUGAUAUUCAUGCUCUUAUCGUUGGAGCGAGACAAGUCUCGCUUGAGCAAGAAGUGUCUAGGAAAAAUAAGUGUUUUAGCUCGGGGCGAGACAUCUCUCUUGAGCUAAAAUAGGUACCAAGAGAACUGAUUGUUUUCUCGCUUAAGCCACAAAUGCCUAAAAAAGGGAUGUGCCCUCACUUGAGCAAGACAGCUCUCGCUUGAGCGAGAGGGCUUCAUACAGACCUGAGUUCUUUUUAAGUCGUCUGAACGAUAACUCUCAUAUAUACGAGAGCCUAAUGGCAUGUUUGCCAUCAAGAAGUUGUAAAGGUAAAUAAGUAUAUGAAAUUCUUGAAAGUAAUAAAAGUAAGGAAUUGUUUUGUUAAUGGCGAGGCCCGAGGGUGUGAUAUUAUGCCCACGCAGCAAGAUCGUUUGAUCGUAAGAGGCUUGGCUAGAGGAGUUAUCCAAGAUGAUUCAGCGAUGUUUCACAGUGGUGUUGAUAAGUAUUAUGUUGUGCCCAUGCAGCGAAACCGUCUGACUAUAAGAGGCUUGGCUUGAGAGUCGUCCAGGAUAAUUCAAUCAUGGUUCGCAGUGGUGCCAAAAUUAUUCUCUUUAUGUUUAUAUCUUAAGAUCUGGACCCACUAGAAGCAUUCCCAAUUGGAGAUGUAUUAAGAUGGGCAGAUCGCUAGAAAAGAUGGAUUCAAAUACAUAAUUUGCUAAUUUCGGUUAAGGUGCAUAUCCAUGGUCCAAAAUGAAGUAGUGGAGAGGAAAUGUACGGGAGAUGAAUGAGCCUCGAGAUUUUGAGAGGGACAGUGUUGAUGGCAGUGAUUUGUCAACAAAUUCUUGAGGGAUAGUCUAGGUGAGACGAGUCCCAUGUAUUCUUGGAUGAGGUAUUUUGUUGGAUCGGACAGUGCUCACAGCGCAAACUAGACUAUCUCUAACAACCCCUCUUUGCAAUUAGGAUCGAUGAGAGGGAUGCCCAGAAAGUGUUUGAUACGACACCAUCUUGAAAUGGAUAGUUCUGUUGGAACAGAUUGGUCAUAUAUCCUUGCGAGGAAUAAUUUUGGUGCAAUCAAAUUGGCUUUUUAUAGGAACUGUACUCUCGGUUAUUUCCGAAUAGUUAUUUUAAGGAUAAAGGAGUAAGGAUGGUGGACUCAUGCAUCAUUAUUAUAUGCUUGUAUGAUGACAUGAUAUAUCUUUACCCGUGUGUUGUCUUGGUGUAUUUUCUGUGUAAUUCCACGACGUUGGUGACAAGUAUUUCAUAGAUGUUUUACUCCCUGUCUUUUUUUCUUGUGUAUUUGUAUGCAUGUUCAGAUGGACCCAUCAGCACUGAUAUGAGGUUAUCGCUUCACUAUGUCCCUGGAGAGGACAUCGAGUGUUGAGGGUAAUCGACACACUUACACAGGUCCUUGCGACCUGGAGCUGGAUUGGGUAAGCAAUUGCUCAAUUCUACAUCUUCCACCUUACUACACAUAUCGGGAGGCAUCAUUCACUUUGCCCGACCAAAGACCUGCAAUCGCUAGACUUUCUGUACCGGCUGAAGUUCGAGACAUACCAGAAGUUGUUAGGACCAAGCCACAAACAGGAUUCUCAUCACCAUGAUCGGCGCCAAGAUAGACGGAUGGGAACAUGCCAAUGGGGUACACCGCGGACCCCUCGAUGGAUUGGGGAGCGGGUGAAGUGGAUGAGGAAGAUGACAAUGACGAUUGUGUAGAGCUUAUUUGCAUAGAAGAUUCAGGUGGGGUCAUUCAGAUCUCCUCUGAAUUGGAGGUGGAGGAAGACCCUAGCGAGGCUUCCAGUGCACCUCCGGUUUAGGAGGUUUCUCUUUUGUUUUGUUGUGAUGGAAACCUGUGUGAGGUACUUUUUGUAAUGCCAAUGCCCCGCCAUUAUUUUCUUUUUAUUUUCAGAUUUUUUUAUUUGUGGCGAUGAUUAGAUUUUGCCUUGUAAACAAUUUUGUAUUUAUUCAAGAAUUUUAUGAAUGGGAAGUACUCAGAAAAGAAUUGUGUUCAUUUAAUUAUCUUCAAUGUAUUAAGAAUUUUAUUUCCGUAAGAUUUGAAAAUGUGACGUCUUGAAAAUGGAAUAAGGUAAAAGUGAAAAUUAUUUGUAAGUUAUAGGUUACAUAAAAGAAAAGAAAACGGGAAAUAAAAAUUUACCUAUUUUUCUAAGAGAUUAAAUAUAUUAAAUAUGAAAUGAUUUUCGGGAUGUUACAUAAAGUGGUAUCAGAGCGGUUCAAUCCUAUCCGGGAUGACCUUGCAAUCUUACAUGCUUUCUUGUGUGACGUUUUUGAUUGUUUGAUUGUUUAUGGUCUAUUGAAAACGGCUCUGGUUUUCCGUCUUAACCGAAUAAGAAUUGGACCGCUUUGAAUGGGAAAAAUCCGGUCCGACCAUGUUAAACCCGGUUAAACCGGAUUAACCCGAGAAGUAAACCGGACGGCUCACUUAAAAAUAAAAAAAUGGGACAAUGUUCUAAUAUUUUGUUUUACUACGGUCCAAAAAAAGAUAAAGAUAUAUUAUUCGAAUAUAAUUAUACAUAAUUAUUAAUUAUAUAAAGUUUUACAUUUAUAUAUAACUAUAUAUUUAUAAAUAAAAAUUAUUAAUUAUGUACGAAAUCAUCCGGUCAGACUGGACGGUUUAACCGUUUAAACCGGUUAAACNNNNNNNNNNNNNNNNNNNNNNNNNNNNNNNNNNNNNNNNNNNNNNNNNNNNNNNNNNNNNNNNNNNNNNNNNNNNNNNNNNNNNNNNNNNNNNNNNNNNUCUUGAAAGUAAUAAAAGUAAGGAAUUGCUUUGUUAAAGGCGAGGCCCGAGGGUGUGUUAUUAUGCCUACGCAGCGAGAUCUUUUGACCGUAAGAGGCUUGGCUAUAGGAGUCGUCCAGGAUAAUUCAACAAUGAUUCGCAGUGGUGAUGAGAAGUAUUAUGUUGAGCCAAUGCAUCAAGAUCGUCUGACUGUAAGAGGCUUGGCUUUAGAGCCGUCCAGGAUAAUUCAACAAUGGUUCGUAGUGGUGCCAAAAUUAUUCUCUUUUUGUUUAUAUGUUAAGAUCGGGACCCACUAGAAGCAUUCCCGAUGAGAGAUGUCUUAGGAUGGGAAAAUCCCUAGAAAAGAUGAAUUAAAAGAUAUAAUUUGCUAAUUUCGGUUAGGGUGCAUAUCCAUGGUAAAAAAUGAAGUAGUGGAGAGGAAAUGUACGGGAGACGAAUGCGCCCCGAGAUGUUGAGAGGGACGGUGUUGAUGGUGGUGAUUCGUCAGCAACGUCUUGAGGGAGAAUCUAGGUGAGACGAGUCCAAUGUAUUCCUGGAUGAGGUAUUCAGUUGGAUCGGACAGUUCUCACAACUCAAACUAGACGAUCUCUAACAACCCCUCUUUGCAAUCAUGAUCAAUGAGAGGGAUGCCCAGAAAGUGUUUGAUACGACACCAUCCUGAAAUAGACAGUUCCGUUGGAACAAAUUAGUCAUAUAUCCUUGCGAGGAGUAAUUUUGGUGCUACCAAAUCGGCUUGUUAUGGGAACUGUACUCUCGGUUAUUUCCGAAUAGUUAUUGGGAGGAUAAAGGAGUAAGGAUGGUGGANNNNNNNNNNNNNNNNNNNNNNNNNNNNNNNNNNNNNNNNNNNNNNNNNNNNNNNNNNNNNNNNNNNNNNNNNNNNNNNNNNNNNNNNNNNNNNNNNNNNAUUUGCACUUAAUAUUUGACAUACAAGCUAUUUAUCAUACACUUUAUCAUACAUUAUAAAUUAACGAGGGCUAGAACACAUUUAUUUAAAAUUUUAAUUAUUUCUUAUUACAUAUUAAAAAAUUAAUUUUAAUUAUUUCUUACACUGUAUCCUUUGAAAUAUUCACUGUUCUAAUAAAAAAACUUAAAAUGGGUCAAACUAUCAUCAUUUAUUUUGGAGACAUGUAUAUAAUAUAAAGAUUUAAUAUUUAUAUUCUGUUUUUUAUACUGUCAGUAAAUCAUCCAUUAUUCAUAUGUUACUAAUCAUUGACUCUCAAAUAAAAGUAAUACAAAUCAAUGGUGGAUGGUGUGCUGNNNNNNNNNNNNNNNNNNNNNNNNNNNNNNNNNNNNNNNNNNNNNNNNNNNNNNNNNNNNNNNNNNNNNNNNNNNNNNNNNNNNNNNNNNNNNNNNNNNNACUAAGGGUCUCUCCUCACUUUUUGGGUAAUGAACUAAUCAUAGAUGCCCCUCCCAACAAAUGUUGUUCCUAGUAAUCGAACCAUUAACCUUGGGGAUCCAAUUGGAUCAUACACCAUUAGACUAACGCCUAUUAGUUAUUAUAAGAUAUUAUAAGAUCGUACAGAUAUAGAUAGAAAGUAGCAAAAAAAUUUAAUGAAUGGAAAAACAAUUAUGUAGAAUAAGUAGAAGAUAAAAAUAAGGGCCUAAAUAUUCCUUAAGAGCUUACGCGUGAAAAUUACGAAUUCAACUCGUAAUCAGAAUUAGUUCACUUCUCCUUUGAUGAUCAUGUCUCUUUUUGGUGCAACACUAAUUUUGAUUAACAAAAGUUAAUUGUUACCAAAUUAUUUUGUCGUUUUUUUAAUCAUUAUCAUCAAUUGUUGUNNNNNNNNNNNNNNNNNNNNNNNNNNNNNNNNNNNNNNNNNNNNNNNNNNNNNNNNNNNNNNNNNNNNNNNNNNNNNNNNNNNNNNNNNNNNNNNNNNNNUCUACCAUUCCUAUCAAUUUCUAUCAUUAUUUUUUGAACAGAAAAUACAUGUAGUGAAAAUAACAAUAAUAAUUUCAUUAAUAAUAAUAAUAAUAACUUCAUUAAUAAUAAUAAUAAUAAUAAUUUCAUUGUUUAGUUUUGAAGAUUUUUAUGCUCAGAUUUGAGGGAAGAGUGAGUAAAAUUUUCUUGAACUUUUUGCCUUUGUGAGUUCUCGACUUAAACUAUUUAUAAUUCUUAAUUACCCAUUAAAUUUUACAUGUUCGUGAAAUUGGUUUCUAUAAAUAUUUUAUUAAAUUAGUCAAAGACAAUAGGGAAAUCGUUGCAAUCAGAAUUAUAAGAAUAACAGUGCAACAAUGUAAAUUAGUCAAUCCCCAGCUCUAGUAACCCAAUCCCUAGCUCUAGUAACCUAAAGAAGAACAAGGGUCGUAGAAGGAUUGAGAUGAAAAUGAUAGCCAAAGACAGCAACCUAAAAGUCACAUUCUCCAAACGCCGCACUGGGCUAUUUAAGAAAGCGAGCGAGUUUUGCACUCUUUGUGAUGCAAAAGUUGGGCUAGUUGUCUUUUCUCCUGCAAACAAGGCUUUCUCUUUUGGCGACCCUAUAUUGAUGCUAUUGUAGACCGCUAUCAAAUGAGGGACCAACCACUGAACCUGGGGAACAUGCAAUAUCUUGAGGCUCACAGAAAUGCUAAUGUUCAGGAGCUUAAUGAUAAGAUUAAUCGGAUCAAUGAAGAUCUUGAGAUUGAGAAGAAGUACAGUGAAGAGUUGGCUAAGCAAAGGAAAGAGGCACAAGAACAUUUCUGGUGGGCUGCNAUUUCUGGUAGGCUGCUCCAAUUGAAGAGAUCAAUGGAGAACGAGUUGAUCAAUUGAAGUCGGCUCUUGAGAAUCUGAAGAAGAAUGUCCUUCGUGUUGUUGAAAGACAGAAUAUUGCUAAGGGUGCUUCUACUGCUGCUGCUAUCCCACCUCCUCCUCACUUUUUUACAGGUGGUGCAUCUUCUUCAAACAACCCUUUGCCACCACCACCUCAGCCACCAACUCAGGAGUUUCAGGUGCAGCCGCCACCGCCACCUCAACAAUAUCCUGUGAAUCCACAACAACCACCUCAACAGUUUAGGCAUCCACAACCACCACCUCAGCAGUUUAUGCAUCCACAACCACCACCUCAGCAGUUUAUGCAGCCACAACCACUACCUCUGCAGUUUCCGAUUUAUCCACCACCACCACCAUAUAUGCUUCAGAACCAGUCCAUGAUGCUGCCAAAUAAUUUGUUCAAUGGUGGCAUGAUGAAUCACCUUGCCUUCAAUAAUAAUAAUAAUAUGGGAGGAUAUGGACCUGCAGGUGGAUUCUUUUGAUCCAUUUCAAUCCAAAUCCACCCGAAUCCAAAUCUUCUUUACUAAAUUUUGUUUAUGCUUGUAUACCAACCCAAUGAUGUUUUGCUAGCUACUUAAAUGUGUCAGUAUGACAAUCAAUGAGAAAUAAAAUGAGGUGUGCUAUUUAUUACUAGGCAAAAUCUUAUUAGGUUAGUAUAGAGGCAUAAAAAACUUUUGGUAUAGAAAAUUUGGGUUCAAAAUAUGCCCUCUCUUUCUUUUCAAUAAUUUACUGUAUUUCAAUUUCUAUAUUUACCUGUUUCAUAGUUGGGACUGAUAAGGGUUUGGAUUUUCAUUAUGUUGCUUGUCUUGUCUGUUUAUGGCAUGUCUGUCAUAAUCUUUGUCAUUUUGUACUUCUGAAUGUAUUAUCAAAUAAAAGGCAUAUUUCUUUUUAAUAUUUCAAGAUCUCUUUCAAUAAUGUAUAUUCUAAUAACAUGUUUAGGGCUCUCAAAUUAUGAACUCCCAAAACAAAAAAAAUAAUGAAUAUUAUUGGUAAAACUAACCGGAAUUGAUUAAAAUAAAAAUUCAAAUCAUGAACUAUAGUACCAAUUUAUUUUUUAUUUAUUAUAUAUAUGAAAGAGCCUUGUUGAAUCAUAUGUGAAAAUUAUGGAUGGGAGCCCUUCCAAAUUAUCAUAUACGUACAACAUAAAUGUUCCCUAUGAUAUAAUAUUUUCUUAACUUCAAUUCUAUCAUAUUCAUACUAAUACUAAAUCCAUCAUACAUGCAAUCUAACUGCUAAAUAAAAAAGUGAAUCAUUGGAAAACAUAUGGACAACGAAGAUAUUUGUUUUAAUUAACUAAAAUUUAUUAAAAAAUUGUAUUGAUCGAGUCUUAUAUGAUUAUAACUAAUAAGAAUAAAGUAUCUCCUCGUAUAAGGAGAAAGUUAUCUCCCUCUGUUAGCGAAAUCAUGACAUGUGACCUAUUUCAUCAUUUUCUAUAAAAAAAAUUCUAAAACUAAAUAAAAUAGUACACAUGUCAUACUUUCACUAGCUUAAGAAGAUAAGUUAUCUCUUAAUGUGAGGAGAUACAUUAUUCUCAUAACUAAUAUAGUAAAACCUUAUUAGGAUCCUUGAAAGGUCUGCAACCAAUGAACUUAAUUCCUCAAAGUUUAGCUCCAUCAACUAUUCUAAAAGAUCAACAUUACACUAGAAUUCGCAUUUAAUAACGCUCAUUCAAAAAUGUACGUGUGAUGCAUACUGUUAAAUGUAAGGCUGAAGGUAAUUAACAGAAUUCGGUGAAGCAAACACUGUUAAAUGUGAUAGAUAAAUGUGCAAUCAACAACGCCUAAUGAAGCAACAAUUGUUGUUUUUAUGACAUAGAGAUUCAACAUCGUUUAGUUAAGCGGGUGUUGUUGAAAGUGACAGUGAGUGUUGUUUAAUGACAUAUUUUAAAUAUCGGCGUUUCGUGUAACCUAACUACAUAAAUGUAAUUAUAUACACUAGUAAACAGAUUAUACAAUAGUUAGGAAAGAAUGAACUAAUUUUUUCCUAACUAUUAUUGUAGAUUAUAUUAGUUUGGUAGUCUGUAUAGAUAUAUAUUGCAAAGUACUUGUAUAUAGUUGGAUUGUUGAGAUUGUGAAAUAGAAAAUGUAAUUAUUGUUGCCAAAAUAAAUGAGAUUGUUUAUAUUUGUCAUAAUAUUGUGUUAUUAUAUGUUUUUUGUGUUGUUUGAUAUAUACAUGACAAUAUACUAAAUGUGUUUGAUUUAUCCUACAAAAACUGUUUGAUAUAACACUACUAUUUGAUGUAGUGUUAUAUCAAAUAGUAUUGUCAUAAGAAUCAACAUUUACUGUAGCAAGUGUUGUAAAUAUGUUGACAUUUCACACUUUCAACAACACUUACUUAAGGAAGAUCUGUUGAUAGUGGCAUAUUCAACAACGCUUGGUUGAGGAAGUGUUAUUGAAAGUGACAAAUUAAAUAACGCUUUCUAGAACAAGCACCAUUGAAAUUGAUAUACUCAAGAAUGAUGACUUCAGAAAACACUUGUGAAAGUUGCACAUUUAGCAAUGCUUUCUAGAGCAAGCGCUAUUGAAAAUGACACAUUCAACAACCUUUCUUCAAGCGAGAACUAUUGAAUGUGUCACUUUCAACAUUGCUUUUAAAAGUACAGUUGAACCUAGCCUUAUAUUCUACUAUGAUUACAUUAAUAUUACCUACAAGCAUUGUUGAUUGUCAAAUUUAAGCAUUAUUGUUUUGCAAUUUUAACAUAUUUCAAAAUAUACAUCAAGAUCGUCUUUGAAACUAAUGUGACAUUUUAGAUGCAUCACAUGUGGUAUUCUACAUGCAUCUCACGUUAGCCUCAAAGACAAAAUUGGUGNNNNNNNNNNNNNNNNNNNNNNNNNNNNNNNNNNNNNNNNNNNNNNNNNNNNNNNNNNNNNNNNNNNNNNNNNNNNNNNNNNNNNNNNNNNNNNNNNNNNAUGUCAUCUUCUUUUGAAAUAAAACAUUUUGAAAACAAUGUAGUGACAUCAUCCAAAUUUAAACAUUUUGAAAUAUUAUUUAUACGAUGACCAAAAAAUUUAACAUUAUUAGAUAAAAUGUCACGAAUAAUACAACAAUCAGAAUCAAAAGAUACAUGGUUGCCUUUGUCAAAGAGUUGGCUUAUGCUCAAGACAUUAUGUUCUAAUCCUUCAACAUNNNNNNNNNNNNNNNNNNNNNNNNNNNNNNNNNNNNNNNNNNNNNNNNNNNNNNNNNNNNNNNNNNNNNNNNNNNNNNNNNNNNNNNNNNNNNNNNNNNNUACCGGGCGGAUUCGGCCCCGACAGUGGUCCAGAACCGACUGUCUCCAAAAAUUACCAAAAUUUACCACAAAAUUGGAAAUAAAAUUUCAAGAAUAAAACUCAACUAGAGUUUUGUCUAAUUCCUUACCGAAAAUUCCCAGAAAUUCAUUUUCGAAUAUAUAAUUAAUGAAAAUAUUAGUAAAAUCUUAUAAUUCAAAAUCGUAAAAUUCGCGGUGUUACAGAAUCACGAAGGAAUUACAGGCUCUUAAAAAUUUGAUUCAUAAUUAUACUCAGGCUUUUGGUCAACAUAUCAACCCAUCUAAAUGCAAGUUCUACACUGCAAAUGCUCAAUUAGGAAAAUUUAUGACCUUGCAAACAUCUUAGGUUUCUCUACUGGAUCUCUCCCAUUCAAUUACUUGGGUGUCCCUCUAUUUAUAGGGAAACCCAAAAAAGUGCAUCUUCAGCAUAUUGUAGAUAAAAUAACCCUAAAGCUUGCUAAUUGAAAAGGUAUGUCUUUCUCAAUAAUGGGAAGAGUGGAGCUUGUUAAGUCUAUAAUCCAGAGCAUGCGUGUGUAUAGCUUUCAUGUCUAUGUUUGGCCAUCUCAACUGAUCAAGCAUGUGGAUAAGUGCAUAAGAAACUUUGUUUGGUCAGGAGACAUAAACGUGAGGAAAAUGAUUACAGUGGCUUGGCAUCAAGUUUGUUCUCCUAGUAUGUAUGGUGGGUCUUGGAAUUAAAUCAAUCAAGCAUCUAAACAAGGUUGCUCUUCUUAAGCUAACUUGGGAAAUGAUUUCUUCAUAUCAGGAAUGGGCUAUAUUCUAUAAGGAAAGAUUUGAAUCCUCUUCUAAUCCUUCAAACAGAUACUACAAGUCUUCAAUAUGAACUGGUAUUAAGAAUAUUUGGCAUGGGGAAAUCAUAAACUCCAUAUGGUUAGUUGGUGAUGGGCAUAACAUAAGCUUCUGGAAAGACAAUUGGCUUGGAUGUCCUCAGGUGGAUUCUAUGAAUAUUCCAGAUGAAUUGCACAAUUCUCUUCUACCAUUUGUCGCUGAUUUCAUAUUUGGCUCAAAGUGGAUAAUUCCUAACCUCAUUGCUGAUUUAUUUCCUAGAAUUGCCACUCAAAUUUCCAAGACUAGGAUUCCCAGAAUAAAGGACAGAUUGGUAUGGAUUGGCUCAAAUGAUGGAUUGUUAUCUCUAAAAGAUGCAUACUCUUGUGUCCAUACUCCUAAUUUCAUUCUCCUUUGGUGCAAAACAAUCUGGUCUUCUUCAAUCCCUCCUUCAAAGUCUCUUCUAUUAUGGAGAUGGAUAUAUAAGAAGAUGCCAACUGAUGAAAAUCUACAAAAGAGGGAUUGUUGAAUGAUCUCAAUGUGUAGCCUUUUAUUUGUUCAUUUGUUUCUCCAUUGUAAUCUAGCUAAACACCUGUGGCAUUGGCUUUGUUCCACUUUCUCAAUCCAAUUGGACACAUCUUCUAUCAAGUCAAUUUUGCUGGCUUGUAAUUCAAGAUGGAGCUACCAACUAAAAGACACUCUAGCUGCUACAAUCACUCAUAUAAUUUCAACAAUUUGGUUCUGUAGAAACCAUGCUAGAUUUGAGGACAAGACAAUCUCAAGGUUUCAAGCUUUGGCUAAAAUCAGAAUGGCCACAACUUUGUCGGGUAAUACAACAAAGCACUAUGCUAGUGGAUCUCUAGAGGAGUUCCACAUCCUCAAGUCUCUCAAUGUCUCAAUUAAAUGCAACAAGGCUCCUAGAAUUUGUGAGAUAAACUGGAAGAAUCCUACAUUGGGAGUAAUAAAAAUCAACACUGGUGGGGCUACAAAAGAGUCCCUUGGCCAUGCAGGUAGUGGUGGGAUCUUCAGGGAUCACUCUGGUGGAAUGGUAGCUUGCUUUGCAAGUUACUAUGGUAUUCACGAUGUCCUUUAUGCUGAGCUUCAAACAUUAAUUUUAGCUAUAGAAAUUGCUUUCAAGCAUGGCUGGAAUUCAAUAUGGUUGGAGUGUGACUCUAGAUUAGUUGUUGACAUCUUCAAUGGAAAGGGUAGGGUGGCUUGGCAGCUUUGGUCGAAAUGGAACAUAUGUAAGCAAAUUUUAUUGUCAAUGAAUUUCUCAAUUUCUCACAUAUAUAGAGAAGGAAACUAUUGUGCUGAUAAGUUGGCAAACUAUGGCAUAAAUACUAGGAUUUUUUCUUGGUGGAAUGACAUUCCUCAAU
This 85246-nucleotide long non-coding RNA is filed under the name Lupinus angustifolius (narrow-leaved blue lupine). RNAcentral's name for it is "long non-coding RNA (LANG_LNC002949)". Lineage: Eukaryota; Viridiplantae; Streptophyta; Magnoliopsida; Fabales; Fabaceae. The record is from RNAcentral.